CGCUACAAGAAAUUCUCAGCACAUAUUGAAAUGGGAGAGAAAUUUCAAGCCGUGUCGCAUACAUUCGUUUUCAAGCCAGACUAAGAAAACCAAAAUCAUUUGCCCAAGACUGUAUGAUUCAGAUAAAGCUCCAAAAGAAGAUGUAGUGUUGGAUUUGUUAUUCUCCAUCUGAACACAAUGCAUACAACAAAUCGCUUGAGUAGUUCCAAGAGCUUGGAUACCAAUUGUCAACAAUGCAAGCAUAGAAAAAGAAACCCACGACAAAUAAAAAGGGAAAUUCGUCAUCAGAACAAACCGCAUCAGUCAUUCCGACUUGCACAUUCACAUUGAACACAUCUACAGUCGAAUGCAAACUAACAGCUCGAUUACCGAGAUAAAUCCAACCCUACCGUCUCGUCAUCGAUCAACCGGUAGGUAGGCCCCCGACGGAAUCUCCUAGGGCAUCCCGCGUCGCCCCCCGACCGGACAGGCGGAAGGAGAAAGAGUGGGGGCGCGACUGAGCCGGAGCUGGAGCUGGAGGUGGAGGCGGAGGCGGAGGCAAAGGAGCUUUCGGUAGCCAUCAUUAUAGUUUCCGACGCCCCAGAAGAAGGAGCUUUCGGUAGCCAUCAUUAUAGUUUCCGACGCCCAGAAGCUUCAGCUUUUACCCGAUGAUCAAAAAGAGUCAAGGCUCAGAUAUUAAAAAUACCCUAAUCUCUUCCAUGUAGAAUAUUCAGAGUCCGAAUCCCUUCUCUCAAGUAAUUAAGUUGAAGUCAUGACCCAAUGUGACGUUUGGGAUUUCGCGGAUGAGGGACCAAUAUUUGCCGGUCCCCUUCCUGCAUCGCUCCUCGAGAAUCCCACAUCCCCAGAUACAGAGUUCUUCUAGAGAUGGAGGGAGGCCAUCCUGGGGCAACUCCCUCAGCUUCGGGCAAUCGAAGAAAUUUAAUUGCUCGAGCGAGGGAGGGAGACUGCUGGAUAGUCUUUUCACUUUCCCCAUACGUAAGAUAGAGAGCUUGAGCAGAGAGGAAGGGAGCGGAAGCACAAGAUCCUCCUCCUCUCCCACUCCUCCCAUGCUGCCGUCGAUGUCUAGGCAAUCAAGGGAGGUGAGGGGGGUAAGCCACUCCCUCACCGGCUGCUUCAUAUUCUCGCAUUUAGUCAUAGAAAGAAACUGUAGCUGGGGCGGCAAUCCUCCAUCAGGAAAGCGCGUAAUACUCUCACACCCACUAAUUACCAGAGUUUGGAGACUCGUGAGUCGAUGCAACUGAGGUAACGAUUUUAUCUUCGGACAAUCCCAAAGCCCAAACCACGAGAUGCCGGGAGGAAGAGGAGGGAAGCACUCCAGCUCCAGUGCAGGACACUCCCACAACCGCAAGUCAGUGAGAUGGGAAAGUGUGUCCAGCCCCUGUGGUAAGCUUCUCAAGUUCUUGCAAUGUCUAAUAUCGAUAUCUUGAAGUGAUUGUAGACGGUCUACACGUAUCUCCGCGAGUGACUCCACUCCCCUACACGACGAAAUUUCAAGUGCCUUGAGGGUCGCUGGUAGAAAACUAUUCUCGCUGAAUAGAAAGGCUGGUAGAGAAUCACAUCCGUAGACUUUUAGUUUUUGCAAACAAGACGUCAUGUCACCGUGAUUAUUGGCGCUGCUACUUGGUUCAUCCAUAUGAACACUUAAUCCUCUAGGUAAAGAUUGCAACAUCUCGCAAUCUCGGAUAUUUAAUGAUAUCAAUGAUGCCAACAUAUCUAUUUCGGGGAAGGACACGAGUUUUGAACAUUUCUUGAUGGUCAAGUCUUGAAGCGAGGAGAGGGUAUAAAUCUUGCUUGGCUGCUUCUCCAGAUUGAUGCAAUUCCGUGAGUCCAUAGUCUCUAGCUUGUUAGGCAACUCUAUAUCUCCUUCUCCAACUGAAAAUGAUAUCAAUUCCGGACAAUCUUCAACAACUAAGCUCUUCAGACAAGCGAGAUUCUGAAUUACAUCUCUCUCUUGCCACAAGUAUAUCAAAUUUUUACAACUUCUCAUCUCCAACUUCUCCAGCUUCACCAAAGAGCUUGUAAACCCAUAAUUUAAGCAAGUCAAUUCGACAACAUCUUGUAGGACAAGAGCAGUUAGAGAUGUGAAGUUUACCAAAUUCUUUAGCACGCCCUCAUUGCAACCUCUAAACUUUAAUUCAUUGAGGGAUGGAAGGCUAAUGAUAAAAGACGAGGCAUCCAUACGAGGACAGUAUAUGAUUUUCAACUUUUUGAGAGAGCUUAGUUGACUAGGCAAUCUUCCAAUCAACAUAGGACAAUUCCAAAUGACAAGAUGCUCAAGACAAGGGAAUAAAACUCCUACUUCUUCAUUGUCGAAGUGAUGAGACCAGUCCCCCCAUGAUGGCAUGUCCUUGAAUUCCAAAGUCAUUAAUGAUGGAAAAGGACUUUUGGUUCCAUAAAAUUCAGACCCUACUGUGCAUAUUGCAUUUAGACCUUCUAUAUACAGUUUUUUCAAAGAAGAUAGUUGUCCCAAUGAGGUUAGGGCCUUGGCCCAACAACACCUAUAUAAACGUAAAUGCACCAUCUUAUCAUAGGAGGGACUUCCUAACCAUGUUGGAAAUUCUAAGCCACCAUAGUAGGAUACUGUGAGAUUUUUAAGUUUUGGGUGAGGCCGAAGAAAGUCAAGGACUUUUGCUUCAAGCUCUUCAUUCCGAAAAUUUCCAAAAUCUUCGCACCAUUGCAUGGUCAGCCGGCAUAUUCCCUCCUUCAUGCAUAAAUUGGCAUCCGUGGCAUCUCUAGCUUCUCUAACCUUAUGCAAAUCAGAGAUGCAAAAUUCCCCUCCAAGAUUCUUUAAGUUUUUCAACUCCUUCAAUCUCAACCCUGUUUCCAUUCCCACUACAAAUUUAGAUAGAAACUCAAGACCCACCAAAUUACCUAUAUACAACGGCAUUGCUCUUAGGCUCGGAGUGUCAAUAAAGUCGAAAUUUUUUAGAUUUAUUAGUUUCUCCAUACCUUCUGGUAACUCAGUAAGAUUUCGACAUCCCCGCAACAUCAAGGCCUCUAGGUAGUACAAUGCAACAAUUGACUUUGGAAGGGUUUCAAUGUUAGUAUACGACAAAUUGAGGCACCUCAGGUGCCUCAGUUUGCCAAUGCAAUCCGGUACCUCUUUGAUGUAAUAGUGACAUAAUGAAAACACCCUCAAGUAUUUCAAUUCGGAUAACAAGUCGCCUAACACUUUCUCGGACAAAUAAGACUUACCAUAGGUAGGUUGCUUCGCCAACGAUAUGAAGCUCCUAAGUCCCUUCAUUUCAUGAUAUAUCUUGAAUCUUUUUGCCACAAUGUGACUACCGCAAAUGAAUGAGGCAUGACGAGCUAAAGAUGCAUUAUUUUGAUCACGUUCAUACUCAAACUCUCCUGAGCUAAAACAAGUUGCACUGGCAACUAGCUUUGCCAGGUCAUUCACAAGAUCAUGCAUCAAGAAUCGUGAUUCACUACUACUCGACUUUUGAAGUAACGAUCUAGAAACUAGCUCGUCGAAAAAUUUCAAACCUGCAUUCCAACAAUUCUUUCCUUCUUUUCCUUCCAACAAGCCCUCUGCAAUCCACCAGUGAAUCAACUCGCCUCAUUUAAUUUCAUAAUCCUUGGGAAAUAUAGCACAGUAAGCGAAACAUCUCCUCAAAUUUGAAGGGAGAUGGAGAUAGCUAAGUUUCAAGGCCGGAAGGAUGUCAUUACGUUCUUUCGGUAGGUCCCAAAUUUUGCUAUCCAAUAUAGCUUUCCAUUCAUGGGGACUGACUUUAAAGCUCAGUAACCCAGCCAAAGUCUUCACAGCUAAUGGCAACCCUCGACAUUUUUCCACUAUUUUCAUACCUAACCCUUCAAGAUCUGGAUGAUGAUCGAAAUUUCUGACUCCAAAGCAUGAAAUGCAAACAAAGUCAUACAAGAAUCUUGCGACAACUCUUUGAGAAUAUAGGGUUGAGCACGGGCUAUUUCAGCAACGUGAAAAUUACGAGUCGUGACAAUGACUUUGCUUCCCUUCAUUCCUGAUUGAAAAGGCUUCAAGAGGAUAGUCCAUUCUUCAUAAUUCUCAUUCCAAACAUCAUCUAGAACAACAAGAAACUUCUUCCCCGCAAGGUGUUCCUUGAGCUUACCAUGAAGCCAAUUUAGGUCCUUUCCUUCACAGAGCAAAUGGUCAUUCACUGUCUCAAGGAUCUUCUUUGUAAUAGCAAGCACGUCAAAAUCAUCGGAAACGCAAGCCCAUGCUUUCACAUCGAAAUUGUUGGUAACUCUAUCAUCAUUGUAGACUUGCUGAGCCAAAGCAGUCUUCCCAAUACCCCCCAUCCCCACGAUGGGAAUCACUUUUAGAUCUGCACAUGUCCUAUCUUCUUCUUCACCGGUCAACAAUUCAAGGAUCUUCAUUUUUUCAACCUUUCUGCUAACGAAACAAGGCUCGGGCAAACUUGUAGUGUGAAGCCGCUUAUCCACUCCUCCGUAUGUCACUCGCUUCCCGCUGUUCUCUCUCAAGCUCAAAGUAUCUUUCUGAGUGAUGAUAUCCUUUAAUCUGCCAUCCAUCUCUUCUAUCUUGGAUCUCAUUUUACGAUCGAACAUAAAUGCUUUUGGGCUCAAUCUAAAGCAACAACUCGGAAGAAGGGAACGUGCCUUGCUAGUGCCAGGUUCUGACUUGGACUUAUUUUCCAUGGACUUCAUGGCGAACUCGUCAAGCAAGUCUUCGAUGUCGUAGACCAAGUUCCUGAGAUCUUUAAGCCACGACUUCACAUCGAGAUCGUCGGUGAGUUGCCUAUCCUCUGCAUCAUCCAACACCUUGUUAAUGCUAAUCAGCAUCUUCUCCCAUUUCUCCAGCAGCGUAUAUAUACCCUCGCGCCGCGCAAAGUUGAGAACCUCUUGAGAGGCCAACCUUUCGAAGAGCACCGAAAGAAAGGCGCCAAGAAAGAGCUCUGCGAUGGGCAUGGCUUGGUUCGCGAGUGGCAGAGGAUUAAACAAGAGUGCUGAAAGGGUCGAAACAAAGUGCAGAGAGCGGAGAGGAAACAAAAGUUCUUCUGUCCAGGACAACAGGAUGAAAUGAUGGUGUGAAUCAAAGACUUUUUAAGCACUAAAGCACUCUUUCUUUCUCGGAAGAAGCUGCCGGUGCAUUUUUUUCCAUCUCGUCCUCGCUGAUUUCAUUUCAUUUCUGUGGACUCGAUUUCUCGGAAGCAAGUUGGUCGGAUGUGGGACCGAGUCUUGGCAUCAUUGAAGCCGCCAUGCAUUGAAAGAUCCAAAAAUUAUUCAAUUGAUUGCUCAACAAUUGUCCAGAAAUACUUGAUAAAAAAAUCUUUUUGACUAAUGGCUAGAAAGAAAAAACCGUGGUUGCUACUUAGCUACGCUCUCUGAAAAGUACAUUACGCAUUAGAUUAGCAGCCAAAUAUUGAGCGGCCAUAGAUCGAGUUAUAUUGCAAACUUUCAAGCACCAUUUUCUUUUUCCCUUUUAUAAUGAUUAUAUUCAUAACGAAGCCUCCUCAUUUUAUUUAGUCCGUGGGUCAUAUUAAAACGUGCUUACUGUUUUGCCAACCCAACCACAAUUCGUCCAUGAGGUAAAUAUUUUAUCCAAAGAUGGACAAAUUGAUAAGUUUAAUUAAUUACAAGGUUUAAGCGGUGGUUCAAGAAGUGGGUUAGCCUGAGGACGCUGUUUAAGGGGGGUUAAGAAAUGGGAGCGGACCUUACGUGGAGUUGCAGAAGUUAUUCUCUAUCUACCCUCUUCACCAUGUGCGGUUGCAGACCUCAUGUGCUAAGCAUCGAAAGAAGGGGAGGUGAUUAUAGCAGGACAUGUGCGAAAGCCAGGGAAUGAAACUUUGAUAAUUCAUGUAUUACUUUUCUAUUUUCAUUGCUCUUUUUGAGCAAAUAAUUUAUUUAUUAAACGCCAUUCUCUCUCUACCCUCUUCACCAUUCCCAGAUGCAGGCCCCAUGUGCAAAGCAUAGAAAGAAGGGUGAGUGUAUGGCAGGACAUGCGCAGAAGCCAAGGAAUCCAACUUUUAUAAUUCAUAUCUAACUUCCUAUUUUCAUUGCUCAUUUGUACAAAUAACUUAUUUUAGCCAAGGAAUCGAAUUUUUAUAAUUCAUAUUUUACUCCCUAUUUUCGUUGCUCUUUUAUACAAAUAACUUAUUUAUUACUCUCUCUCUCUCUCACUCUCUCUCUCUCUUCAUGUAUAUUACUUUUUGAUUUUCUUUGCUAAAUAAAAUUUUAGUUUACGUGUUGUUCUUUCGAUGUUUGAUCCCUUCUUCCACUCCUUCGCACGGUACUUUUUGUUGUCUGGCCUCUGUAUCUCGAUGCCAAGAGAUAUUUGUUCAUAGCGAAAUUAUAAGGUUGCUAUUGAGAUGAUGUCCUCCCCGAAUAAUGUGCAUGCUCUUUAGGGUGAAGUGCACUCCCCCACAAUAAAUCGGUCACUUUUUUAAAAGGAAGCGCAUGCUUCUCGUUAUAAUAUACCCUUUCAUUCAUAGAGAAAAAUUACCAAAAAAAAAAAAAAUAGACUUAUUAUAAUUAUGUAAUCUCAGUCCUAAGUAUUUUAAUUUGGUCAGGAAACAGGUUUAGGACUAGUGCUCAACCCAUGUUUAUCCUUCAACAGUGGUGGAAAGAUCUGAGAUGGUGGUGACUCUGACCAGUAAAGUAGACACACAUUUUUUAUGGAUCACAUUUGCUAUUACAUGCUAUUACUCAAUUCUUCAUAAGUCUACUAUUCUUGUCUUGAUUGAGGCGACGGGCUUCUUUGUUAUUUAACCUUGGCUGGUGACGACUUGGAGCAAUCUGCUACCAAGCUUUCAGCUUCCCAGGUAAUUGACUGAUUUUUAGUUAAGGUCUUAACUAAGGUUAAGCUACGGUGCUCCAUAGUCCAUCCGCAUCUCUUCUUUCCAUUCUCGUCGUUCGGGUCUCUAGUCACCAAAACUCGGCCUAUGAUAAUUAAAUAUUCCAGAAAAAAGUUGCUGUGUUUUUUUUUCUCCGCCGAUUGCUCCUUCACACUCCCCUUCCUUCGUUCUUGUUUGCACUCGAAUCUCUACACCUUCUUAAUCUCUCAUCGUUGAUUUCAUUUGAUUUAAUUUGAUGGGAGCAAGUUGGUCAAAAAUGGCACCCUAGUCUCGGCAUUAUUAAAGCGGCCGAAGGGCUGGAAUCAAGGCUAGAAUCAGACAAAAGGCUGCUCUCUCAAUUUCUUUCCCACUCAUUUUUUGUACCCACCCAUCAUCAUCAUGCAUCACGUAGACAUUGGCAUCAUCGUCUCAUUGACGCAGUCUCGUACAUCGGUCAUAUAAGUCACAACCAUUAUUCCAUAUUACAUGAGAACUCAAUGCAUUAAAAACUGUAUAAUUUACUUAGCUGGUCACCAAGUGUCCAGAAAGACUAGUUAAUAAUUUUUUUUUAAAAUAUUGGCUAAAAAAAAUCAUUACGUUCUCUUUAUUACUGUCAUCGCUACCUAACUUUACUCUCUGAAGGAUACGUUAUGCAUUAGAUUAGUGGCAAAAAAUUGAGUGGUCCGGAAUCGAAUUAAAUUGCAAACCUUCCGGCACCAUAUUCUAUCUUUCCCCUUUUAUAAUGAUUAUAUCCAUAGUGAAGCUUUCUCAUUUUAUUUGGUCCGUGAGCCUAUAUUAAAAUAUGCUUUUUUUUUUGUCAGCCUAACUACAAUUCGUCCAACGGAUAAAUAUUUUAUCCAAAGACGGCCAAAUUGAUAAGUUAAAUUAGUUAUAAGGUUCAAGGGGUGGUUCAAGAAGUGGGGGCCAGACAACAACAAGAAUUAUCGAGCGAAGGAGAGGAGGAAGGAGUCAAACGCCAUCCUCUCUCUACCCUCUUCAUUAUUGCCGGAUGCAGGCCCCAUGUGCAAAGCAUCGAAAGAAUGGUGAUUAUGGCAGGACAUGCGGCUCGGACACCACCGGUAACCGCUCCCCUACAUAAAGUNNNNNNNNNNNNNNNNNNNNNNNNNNNNNNNNNNNNNNNNNNNNNNNNNNNNNNNNNNNNNNNNNNNNNNNNNNNNNNNNNNNNNNNNNNNNNNNNNNNNNNNNNNNNNNNNNNNNNNNNNNNNNNNNNNNNNNNNNNNNNNNNNNNNNNNNNNNNNNNNNNNNNNNNNNNNNNNNNNNNNNNNNNNNNNNNNNNNNNNNNNNNNNNNNNNNNNNNNNNNNNNNNNNNNNNNNNNNNNNNNNNNNNNNNNNNNNNNNNNNNNNNNNNNNNNNNNNNNNNNNNNNNNNNNNNNNNNNNNNNNNNNNNNNNNNNNNNNNNNNNNNNNNNNNNNNNNNNNNNNNNNNNNNNNNNNNNNNNNNNNNNNNNNNNNNNNNNNNNNNNNNNNNNNNNNNNNNNNNNNNNNNNNNNNNNNNNNNNNNNNNNNNNNNNNNNNNNNNNNNNNNNNNNNNNNNNNNNNNNNNNNNNNNNNNNNNNNNNNNNNNNNNNNNNNNNNNNNNNNNNNNNNNNNNNNNNNNNNNNNNNNNNNNNNNNNNNNNNNNNNNNNNNNNNNNNNNNNNNNNNNNNNNNNNNNNNNNNNNNNNNNNNNNNNNNNNNNNNNNNNNNNNNNNNNNNNNNNNNNNNNNNNNNNNNNNNNNNNNNNNNNNNNNNNNNNNNNNNNNNNNNNNNNNNNNNNNNNNNNNNNNNNNNNNNNNNNNNNNNNNNNNNNNNNNNNNNNNNNNNNNNNNNNNNNNNNNNNNNNNNNNNNNNNNNNNNNNNNNNNNNNNNNNNNNNNNNNNNNNNNNNNNNNNNNNNNNNNNNNNNNNNNNNNNNNNNNNNNNNNNNNNNNNNNNNNNNNNNNNNNNNNNNNNNNNNNNNNNNNNNNNNNNNNNNNNNNNNNNNNNNNNNNNNNNNNNNNNNNNNNNNNNNNNNNNNNNNNNNNNNNNNNNNNNNNNNNNNNNNNNNNNNNNNNNNNNNNNNNNNNNNNNNNNNNNNNNNNNNNNNNNNNNNNNNNNNNNNNNNNNNNNNNNNNNNNNNNNNNNNNNNNNNNNNNNNNNNNNNNNNNNNNNNNNNNNNNNNNNNNNNNNNNNNNNNNNNNNNNNNNNNNNNNNNNNCAGUACUUCUUGUUGUCGUCUGGCCCCCAUACCUUGAACCAGCUAAGUACAGGACGUCAAGAGAUAAUUGUUUAUGAAGAAAUGACAAGGUUCCUAUCGAGAUGUAGUUCUAUUCUGAAUGAUGUGCAUGCUUUCUAGGGUGAAGUGCAUCCUCCUCACAAUAAAUUGCUCACUCUUUUAUGGUGAUUUGCACGAUCUUGUUCACAUUAAGUGCAUAAUCCUUAAAGGCCAAAGUGCAUCUCCUUCUUAGAGUCAAGUGAACACUCGUUAUAAUCAAGAGUGAACUCCUUCGGGUGUUUGAAUCAGAAACGUGCCUCUUUCAAUGAGGAGCAUGCCCCUUAAGCGGGUCAAUGUUGAUGAGGCACUCAUAAUGUUCCUAUUGUUCUAUCAAUUUAAUUUCAGAAUUAUGUAGAAAGUCAAUGUUCGCUUUCGAUUGUUGUAGGAACUUGUUAAUCCAAACUAGAUCUUAUCCAAUACAAUUAUUUGUGAAAUAGAGAUGAGACUUUUCUAUUAUUUUAACCGUUGUUCAAAUUUCAGUGUAAGUUCCCACCUUAAAAAUCCCAAUUUAGAGCAAUUGACCCUUUUGUGCCUUGACUCAAAAUUGAAGCAGGGGUCAUCUAUCCAGUGGUUACAACUUAGCCCCUAUCUAUACUGUGUUCUAACUCUAGGGAAGGCCACGAUUAAGAGUAAUCCCAUCCUCUCAUUUCCAACAAAUGGUCUCUUCUUGUACGGCUCUUUAGAUGAUCAUGCUCUCCAGCAAAAUAUUAAAAAGUAUAGUUUGAUUGAUUGAUUAAAUUGGAAUACUAUACGUGUGUUGAACUUUUCUUAAUAUGAUGCGUAUGAUCCAUUUGUUUGAAGGUCCAUUUGUAGUAUGCUAUAUCACUUGGCAUAUCAAUCUAAUUGAUUGUUCCAAAAAUUGUCUAGCUUUGUCAUCUUUACAAAUGGAGAGCCCUAAUUAUCAUUAGUGAUAAAAGUUCGAUAAAUCGGCUCAUUGUGCUUACUUCUUUGAUAUUCUAUUCCCCUAUUUUUUCCAUAGCUCGAACAUAUUCAUUCCAUUAACAAUAUGGUAUACUGCAUAGCAAGGUCAAUCAUCCUUCAAACACAAAAUUGAACAUGAGAAAAUACAUAGGAUCUUCACAUCAAUCAAAUUCUUACUUUUAAUCAAACAUUAGUUUAUUAAGACAACCAAAUAUGCCCAUAGUAGUCAAGUCGUUUACAUAGGAAGUUCAAAAAGGUCAAUUGAUAAUGAGAACAUGAUUAAAAUGCCACCAUUUUUUCAAAGUUCCAAUAUCAAAUGUUAGGAAUUUGAAGUUUUUAUCAUUUCUUGAAUUUAUUAUACUUAAUAGGGUAAGAUUGACUGUGAUUCCCAAUAAGGAUCCUAAUAUUUUACGGUGUUCUUUAUUGUGCUUGAGUAGAAUGUUUUUCCCAUUGUUGUAGCAUCAUGAGAUGGUGGAAUUGAUUGGCUAUGACAGGUGCGCUACACAAGGAAGUAGCAGGGCCAAGACUGGCAGCAUCGUCUUAUGUUAGCUUUCUUUAAUAUGACUUCAGACGAAUGUAAACCCACUCGAACACAAGUUGAAAACAAGAGCAAAUCCUUUCAAAGGGAUUCACAUUUGAAGCAAACUUAGCUAAACUAUAAACUGACUACAUUGCCUUGCUUCCGUUUUUUACACCUAUACAGCAGAACACUGAUACCCUACCCCGUCAGGAAGAAGCUCUCAGCACCACUAAACAUGCGAGUCGAAAGACUUUUGCAUCGGCCCAACCAUCCUCCCUCCUCCUCUUUCGUAUCUGUUGUUCUAUUUCAUCACUCUCUGUCUCUCUGUGUCUCUGUCUUUUCGUUUGUUGGCUUUCUCCUAUCGUUUUUCUUGGUCUUUCUCAAAGACACUGCCGUUGCAUUUCAUCUCGUCUCAUUUGAUUUUUAAUUUCAUUUCAGUUGCCUCAAUUUCUCAGAAGCAAGUUGGUCGGACGUGUGGCCAAGCCUUGGCCAUCAUUAAAGCCACCAAAGAAGGCUCGGAAGGUUAAGAAGUGGGAUCAAAACUUCUACUUUAUCAUCGUUCGUCAGUUCUCUCCCACCACUCGCAUCACAUAAAGUCCCAAAUGCACCCAUCCACCAUCGUUAUCUCGUUGAUGCAGCCUCCCGAGCCCCAUCCCAUUAUCAAAUAAAUGAGCAGUUACUACCUAAACUUAAUUAUGUAAAUUGGAUCAUCAUUAAUCAUCAAUCAUAUGCAUCCCAGACACCAUUCCACGUAACACGAAAGCCCAAUACAUUGAAAUCUCUCAAAUUUUCGUAGUUGAUUACUGAACAAGUGUCCAAAAACACUACAGCAAAACCAUUUUUAAAUGAUGACCAGAAAGAAGAAAAAAGGUUAUAUCCUCUUAAAAUAUCUAGUUGUCACCUAGAUAUGCUCUCUCAAGAAUACACAAUCAGAUUAGAUUGGAUGGAAAAUAAACCAGGUGGCUACAGAUUGAACUAAAUUGCAAACCUUCAAGCUUCAAUUUGUUUUUUCCCCCUUUUUGUCAAGCAAUAAUGAUUAUAUUCAUAACAAAGGUUCCUUGUUUUGUCCCAAGAAGAGAAGAGCAACCUAGCUUCAAUAUGCCCACCAGCCAUUCAAAUAGGUGGAAUUUGAUAUCUACUUAGUUCAUGCCCUAUUAUUAUAAGUGUGCAUAAACAUUACAUCAGCAAUGCAAAAAUAACCAGAUCCCUAAAUUGUAGAUUUUGCUAUGGUGUCACGUCAUAACAAAUGAUCGAUGAUGGCUUACGAAGGUGGACUAAUUGAAGCGUGUGAAAGUUGGUUUAGGCACCACUUGAUCACUAAAUACAAAAAGAAAAAAAAUAUCAUAAAUAGUUCAUGUGUCUCAAGGUCAAAUAAAAUUUGAAAUUUCAAGGUUGCAAUGCCAAAUAAUAUAUGCUCAUGUUUAAUUAGAAGAACAGUGAGAGUACCUAACUAUGAUCCGUCCACCCACUAAAUUUUCAUCAAAUGUGGACAAAUCAAUAAAUUUAAUCAAUUUUGCCCUAUAAAAAUAGGGUGUCAAAAGAUAAUUAUUUAUAGAGAAAUUUACAGGUCCCUAUUGAAAUGCAUUCCUAUACUGUGCAUUCUCUUUAGGGCAAAGUGCACCCUUUUCACGACAAGUUACAUAGUUUUAAGGUAAAGUGAAUGCGUUUUGCUCUGAUUCAAGUCGAGCGCGCAUUCUUUAAAGGUCAAGCAUAUGCUUCCUAGGUAUUUGAAAACCAGGGCAUGUAAUUGUUUUUUUUUUUUUUUUGGUAAAGAAAAAAAAAAAAUCUACUCUUUGUCGACUCGGUGCUUAGAAUAGAUCCAGGGAAAAACUACCUUCUACCUUUCUAGAGUUCUAACGGUUAAAUACUUGACACAUAAAGGAGAAUUGUAUGUCUGUAUUCUUUGAGUUUUCCAUUAGGGUAGAUGCAAAAUACUUGAUUAUCAUGUUUCCACCAAGUUUUAAUCCACUUCUUGCCUAACUCAUAAAAAUAGUAGGUUAAUCUAUGAAUUUAGAAUUUACCUAAGUAAUGUAACUUCCUUGCUGUCCAUAAAAAAAAAAUCAUGUUAGCAAAUAAUCGUUUCUAUCGAAACUUAUUAAAGAUAAGUGUAAUUAAGGAUGACCUUUUUGUGGCUUUUUCUGUGGAAAUUGUGAAAUAUUCUUGUUGGGAGAAGCUUCUCCAAAAUCUGGCCUUUGCAAUCACAAGGCAGCUUCUGAAGAACUUCUCGCUUAGGUAGGUGCAUUGCGCCCCUUUGUCCAUUGUGAUCAGUCUUUUUGGCCCAACAACGAACCCCCCCCCCCCCCCCAACCCAAAAAAAAAAAAAAAAAACACCGCCCAAAGAAAAACAAAAAAAAAAAAAAGUAGAAGAAGGACAAAUUUGUGAAUACUCUCAGGUACAUUCAUUGAUGAGGCCACGAGAGCAUCGUGGUCGAAAUACACACGCGUUACGUAUUUCUAACACUGAAUCAUCCUUAAUGAGGGGAUUUCAAUCGAGCAGGUUAAUAUAUUACAUUCCGUGAUUAGUUUAGAGAUUUUAUUAAGUACCUUUGAUUUAGCUUAGGUUUAGGUAGAUUGAUCUCUUGAACAAAAAAUUGGACUUAACUCGAACUUAGCUUAUGGAGCUUAUUGUCUCGAUACAUGUUAUUAACAAGUGAGGUGUCAUCCCAUGCCCCGCUUAGCUCCUAAUUAGUCUUAAUAGGCUAGCGUGCGAUUCUAUAUAAGCUGGACUUUUUGAAUUUAUCUAUUUCAAUUAUAGUUUCCUAAUGUCAAGCGAGAUAAGAUUUCAAAAGGAAGGACUCAAGUCAUUUUGGAACCAUUAGUCUACUUUUGACAUUAUUUCUAAACUCGUCAAAUCUUGACAAUGCUUGUACGAGAGGGUCACUAGAUAGAAAAAUAUUUUUCAAAUUAUUUAUUUUUAUGCAAUAAACAAUUAAUAAAUUUGUUUUUCUCACUUUUCUUAUCACACUAGAACAUCCAUGGAGCCAUAGAGAGGUGAGUAGGAGAUAUUCCCCAUGCCCUUAAUAGAAAACAAAAAUAGAGCGAACAUGUCGUAGGAAAUACUUCUUUGUUGAAUUCAAGCUAAUCAAAAUCUUUUAAAUUAAUUUUUCUUGUGAUAGUUUUUUUUUUUAAUAUGGAAUAGCUUUUAAAACUUCAUAACCAUGAUAAACACAAUACAUGGAAUCUUCCAUAAGUUUGAGAUUUUACCUCAAGACGAUGCAAUAUAUCAUAUAAUAUGUUUAAAAGAUUGUAUCGAUUCAAUAUAAAUUUUUAUGAUACUCUUUAUAUCCUUUAUCUGAUUUAAUAGCUAAAAUUGAUCCUACCCCUUAAUUAAUACACAAGACUCGAGAUUAAGACAUUCUAUGCUUUCAUUUUUGACACCUAAAUAGUCUUGAUUUUUUUAUCACAUUUUGAUUUAACAUUAAACUUCUAUAAAUUUCUUGGUUUUUUUUUUCUUUCUUUCUUUCUUUUCGUCUUACUCAAUACAAUUGUUACCAAAAGUUAAGGUUGAAAAAUGACACAAUCGUUGGGCCCCACUCGCUCCUCAUCUCACCGCCUCCACCAGGGUUCCUCUUCCUCCGCCGCCGCCGCCUCUCCGCCGCCUCCAGAGCUUCUCCGUCUCCCCCGCCGCCUUCUUGCUCCCUCAUUGGUAGUUAUAUUCGGUGGUUGAUUCUGUUGCCCCGUUCGGUUAAAGUUCAUUCUAUCUGUUCGAUGAAAUGCCUAGAUCAAUAGACAUUUCAUUCAUUCUAUUACCUCACGCGAUUAUGUUAUUAUAUUUUCAGGGACCCUGUUUUUUUCAGGCUUGAUCCGAGAGUACCUGGUCUCUAGCGUGUCUGAGUACUUAUCUUUUCAUGUUCCAGUAGUGAUGGCUAUAGAUUUAGUAGUACUUGCUGAUCCAUAGCGAUGUGCGGGUCAUCCACUCAUUUGAUUUGAUGGAAUAACUCUUCUUGACAGUCUAGAAGAGGGGUUUUGCGGGGGGGAGAGAACAAGAUGCAUCUGUAUGACUGCGUGCUUUUGCUGAAAUCCCAUGUCAAGAAGGAAGCUUUGAUGGAUAUGGUGGCUCGGAUAGGAAGAGACGUCUAUAAGAAAAACGGGGUCGUCACUGAGGUAAAAUCAUUCGGGACGGUCCAGUUGGGUUAUGGUAUCAAGAAGCUUGAUGGGCGAUUCUUUCAGGUGAUUCUUCUGUUGAAAUUCGAGCCCUUCUGCUUGCUUGUUCCGAGCUUUCCAUCUAUGGAUAAUUCUCUUGUUGGCUUGUCAAUUCAUGUCGUGCUUGUGAUAUGCCAUUAGAUUUGAUUCAUCUUCUUUGUUUAAAUUCCUGGUUUAUGUAACUUGGAAGCUACAAAUGAGCUAUCUGGUUUGACAGAAUGACGGAGAGUACUCUCUAGAACAAGAUAACGUAACAGAAUAUGACAGAAGAUGAUGCAGAAAUGCUGAAUCUAUUAGGUUUCACAACUGGAAUGCAACGCGACCAUGUAUUUGGCUGGCUCUUCCCCUCAUGUUCGAAGUAGCAAGCUGCAGGAGAAAUUGAUUAUGUUGGCACAUACGUCGAGCAAAAUUAUCCUAGCUUAUGAGAAAAUCUCAUAAUGUGAUAAUGUCUUCAGCUGGCUCCUUGCCUUAUGUUAGGAGUGGAAGCCAUAGGAGAUGGUAAUUAUACAGGCAGAUAUGUUGGAACAAAUAUUAACUAGCUUAUGAGGAAAUCCCAUACUGGAUUGGAGUUGUAUGUUCGGUUUUGCACUGAUGCUGUUACCAUCCUAGCUUAUUGCUAUUAAUACUUACCAUGGUCAUUUUUUCAUCUAAGUUAAUCGAUGGCUACUGUAGCAAUUGAUGGAAGAUUUAAUUUUGCAAUGUUGGUCUGGCAGGAAAAUCACACCAGAGUUCACUCUACUAUUCACUCACUUUCGAAGUGGCUAUUCAUUUUCAAACUUUCAUUCACUUUGGUUUUGCUUUCAAUCGAAUAACUUUGGUGAUUGACCUGCAAAAAACUCAUUGGAAACCUGAUUCGACAGCUGGUUUUGAUCAUUUUAAUCUGAUUUAGAUAUUAAUUUGAAAUGCUAGUAUGAGUUCAAUAUUAAACUCUAGUGACUGAAAUGAAAGUUGAGUGAGUGGCAAAGCAAAAUUACCUACAGUUGACUGACCUACAAUGAAAGUCUAAUAAAAACACAUGCACCUUCCGUGUCAAUAUUACAAUGAUGCCAGGUCAAACUUCUAAUGGGAUAUUGAAUGGCUAGUCAACAGAGUGACCUUAUGGAGAACAAAACCAAAGUUGAGUGAUCUAUAUGCUGAACUUGAAAGUUGAGUGAUCUAUUUGAAAGUUAAAAGUUGAGUGAUGUAUAGUGUAAUUUACCCUUGUCCUGGCAGUAAUAUGUACUGUUUGGAUGGGCUCUCUAUCUGCUACUCUUCCUGAUGAAGCAUUAAGAUGAUAUUUAGUUGGUUGCACUUUUACCUUGUGGAGGAAAGAGGAUUCUAGGUCUCUUGCUAUUUCUCUCAUGUUGAUUUCUUUGAUCUAGACACGGAUAUCACUUUUAUGUUUCUGUUGCACACCACGCAGGGUCAGAUGAUGCAGUUGACCAUGAUGGCUUCACCAAUGAUGAGCAAAGAGCUGCAUUACUUGAAUAGGGAAGAUAGAUUAUUGCGCUGGCUUCUUGUUAAUGCCCGAAUUUUCUUGUUAGGAGAAGCUUUACACUAACCAUUGAAAUCACAUGGCAACUUCUGAAGAACUUCCUGAUUAUGUACGUGUAUUACAUACGUCAAAUCUUUGACUUAAUGGCUCUUUCUCCAUUGUGCUAAACUUUCUGGGCCUAAAAAAGAAGAAGAAACCGUGACAAAUUUGCGCAUAGUCUAAUGUACAUUCAUUGAUGAGGGCACAAGCAUCGUAGUUGACAUACAAACACAUUACAUGUUUCUAAUGUUGAACCAUCCUCAAUGAGAGGGUUUAAGUCGAGCACAUACGUGUCAGAAUUUCGACAUCUCUUAAUCUUGGAGCAGAUAAAUAAGCUCUCGUUUCCAUCUUCUGGAGCUUAUCUUGGGGAGGUUGUAGUGGCUUAUUUUGUGCCACCGUUGCCUAAUCUCAUCGCUAGUGGACAUGAUCAAAACAAGUCUUUACUUCUCCCACUUCAGUCUUGACUUGAGACACUUCAAACUGAACAUUUGACACCAUUGUGGUCAAAUGUUUUAAGCACGUCAAAUGUUUUAAGCACCUCACUUAGGGCAAAAGCAUUUUUUGUUUGCCAAAUCAGAACAAACUCUGCGAGGGUGAUCCUUCUGGAGUUUCGGGCUCAUAUCAAAUCGUGUUUAUAAAUUCUUCCAAGGAAGAAAAAUUUUAUGGUUGAAACGUGCAAAUACGAAGCAAGUCUAAUUGUUAAAUUGCCCCUUAUGCUGUAAAACCACCGAGACUAAGGACGUUAGCAGAAUAAUAACUUACCGAAUCUAAUGAUUUAACAAAUAUUAAACACCUAUUGAAAAUGAAUCUCAAUGCAAAACCAACCUUUCAUGUAAAUUUUAGAUUACAUGCCUUAAACUAAGAUUAACUUGUAAAAUGUCAUGCACAAUUUCCAAAAGAAUAAUUACCAAAAAGGUCAUUAACAUAUUGGACAUAUGUCAUUACAGUCAAUAACCUUUCAAUUUGAUCACAUUUAAUCAUAAACCUUUUAAGAAUUUGUCAAUAUAGUCAUUUCAGCCAAUUUUAGGCAAAAAUUAUUAAUGGGGAUACUAGCUAUCUUACAUGGCACAUCGAAACUCGGAUCCUCACCGUCAUCGUGGACGAUCUAGACUCUUAAUCUCUGAUCAUCUCAGGUUCUGAUCCAUCGUUUCUCGCUUCAUCGCCGAUAAUCUGUUUGCCGAAUUUUCCCCCGAGAAGCACGCGAUGCAGAGGAAGGACUAAGAAGCUGAUGACACGAGAGAGAAAGCGGAGCCGUGAAACAGAGCAGUCGCUCGCCAUCGUCCAACGCAGCUCGACCGUCGGCUUUUAAUGCUCAUGGCCGGACGCAGCGAUUGCGAGUUCAGGCGAUGACGAAAUCCAUCCGCUAACGGCCGCACUUACCCAGGUCAUUUUCGGCUACUGCAUUGCAAAAUUCAACCAUCAGAUUUCAGCACUACAGAAAAUGCAAGAACAGAAUGGGAUGUAUCCCAGGCGAUCGAUCCUACAGGUUUAGCUAAUGAGAGAGAGGCCCGUUGCAAGUUAGAACAGCUCCUAAGCUUGCCAUUAGGAAAUGCCGAACUCGGGCAGGUCUUUACUCUGAAAUCAAGAAAGGAGGGCCCUAAAUAUGUGCUCAUUGUUCUUGCUUCUUCGUAUCAGAUCGGCUCUCACUUCUAAACUCAUGCAACUAUGCAGGCAACUUUUCUAAACUCAAGUAGGAACUAAUGCUUUCUCAGGAUACUGCACAAAUUAGAAGUUUAUGGGCUGCAUUUUACUUUAGAUCAAAGUACAUGAGGUAUUUAUGUUAUUAUCUCUAUUAAGAAACGUGAUUGGUUGAUACAAAAAAUAUAUUUUAUUCUGGCCACAUCAUGCAAACAGACCGGCUUGGCUAGAAGAUGUAGGCUACAAAAAUUGAGAGUUGGGCCCAAGGGCUUCUAAGAUGGUGCAGGAGAUGAAUGACACCAAGAAGGCCCUCAAAGAAUGGAACGACACUUUCAUUCGAGUCGGAUGGUCUUUUCCACCCUUACAUCUGCAACAUCGUAAGAAAAACUAUAUGGAGGUCGGUACAAAUUACAAGUUUUGUCUGUUGCAACAGUUUAAGAUGAGUUAUUAUGCUGAUGUGAUUGACGAUCUCACUGUAUGAAGUCUAUAGCUAAACUUAUACGCAAAAAAGAAAAAUAAUAACUACGGGUAGAUUGCUCCAGGAUCCAUUAAAUUACAAUGCUGGAGUCAUAUUACCAGGUACAAGAACUAUAAGAUAUGACCUCUAAGGAAAAUUAUAAUACAAGGAGUAACAUCUCUUAAGACGAAGUCAUUUACAUUUAGAGGAAGUAAUUUAAUUUACCUUUUGAGUAAUUUAGCUUGAAAGUAAAGUUGGCUAUGCAGUAUAAAGUUUGUAAAUUAUAUUUUGUGCUCGUAAAUUAGCUUCUUAUACCGUAACGCUCAGUAACUUGCUAUAGCAGGUCAUUUUAUAUAUUCAUUGCAUACAAUAGGGGAUACGGUCCCGCACUUUCGUAUCAUUGCAUAUUCAUUAUCAACAAAGUGCAACUUCAAACAUUACAGUCCUCCGAGACUUCUUAAGUCGGUCUCGAUCCUCAGGAGCAUCAAUCCUCCUCGACAAUGAACUGAAUAAAAACCGACAUAUAUAAGUUUUGAACCGUAAUAUUAAGCUCUUCAUUGCAUUGACGCUUCUGUGAUCCUCCUCAACAUGUAGAUGCAAAAUGGGAGAACCAGAUUCUAACCAAACAAGACAGCUCCCUUUACGUUUUCACUUCUUCCCUCGCGCUGCUCCUCCGUAACAUGCAGGAAAAAAGGAACGGACUGAUGGGAUCUACUCCCGUCACUACAGGCAUGAACUCAGAUCCCGCUCAGUGCGCAAAUGUCUCAUCCACUCAUAAGCGGAGGGCACAUCAUGACAGGGACGACCUUUCCAGUUUCUCUCCAUUAUCCUUCUCGCCAGGGAAACUUGCUUCCCGACUGCAGAGACGAAUAUUUUGCCUUUCCCUCCAGCACCUCUCUCUGUGGCGGACAUAUUCGCUCGGAUCGCACGGGAAAUCGAAGAGAAUAACAUGGUCCACUCCAGUAGAGUCAAUUCCUCGUAACAACCUGUCAUAUGGUUGAAAAAUCAUCAGGAUCUUGCAAAUACCUAAGGAAAGAUGAGAGUGACAUGUCUUAGGUAAAUUCAUGUGUGUCCAGUGACCCUGCUCUGCCUUUCGUUUGACUGUGUCGCAAACAGUGCCGUUAAAAUCACUAGGAGCUGUUAAGAGACUCAGACCCCACAGUUGCCUCAGGCGCUAGGCUGAACAAUGAGAGGUGCCAACUAAAAAGAGGGGAUUAAUCCAUCAACAAACAAAUUAUUAGGUCUUUCAUACUUAGAAUCACAAGUUCUUCCAGGUCUGCAUUGUAGCACAUAUUGCACUGGUGCAAAGAUGUUAACAUAGACAAAUCUUUUCUAAGGCAAUACCUCAGAAAAGGAGCACCUCAUCUCAGGUGCUUACCUUAAACAACGAAACCUUGCCUGAGAUGAGGUGAGGAGCAGAGGCUUCGCCUCGCUUUGCCUAAGGGCAUAGGUGAGUGCCUUGAGUGUUAGCUAACACUCAGCUCUUGCCUAUCCCAAUUAUUCACAAAACGCACAAGACGGAACAAGGCCUAUCCCAGCCACUGCUAUUUUCAUCUAACUCUUGUUGAGACUGACUCCAUUAGUAAAUGUGCAAGCUUGAAUUGAGAACUGAAGGCCUGGGUCUUGGCAGGUUAUGCAUGGUUUAACUUAAGGCUUACUUUUAGGGAUCAAGCUCGGCUGCAGAGCAGAUAUAUUUCUAGAACCAUAGUUUGAUUGGUAUUGAACAAAGCAGCUAUACAUACCCGUCGCUGCAAACCAAAAACAAGGGAACAUCUUUAGAUGGAGAAGGGAAAAAACUCUUUCAUAUUUGCCCGCCGCAACUCUUGUGAAAUAGCAGCAUGAAAAGGUAGUACUCGUGUAUCAGCGCCUUUUCUGUCAAUGCGCUUCAAUGCAUUUUCAGCUUUUCAACAUGUCUCAAUCUGUAUAUGGAGAAGAGGACAAAGUAAUGAUGAAUCCUCCAUUCAGGUUGCUUCAGAACCUCCUCUCAAACUCCGGGUUAGGAGUCAGUGAAAUGGUCGGGAUAGAGAAGGAAAUGUAAUGAUGAGUCAAUUUCAAGCAGCCUUUACUGAAAGAUCAACAUACCUCGUUACAGAAAAAAAAUUGUUUUGGUUACGGGGGUUUCUUCCACAAACUGAAUGAAAGUAGACUUCUUAUUCAGGAAUGCAGUAUCUGGAGUCUUUUCACUGUUUUCUCUCCAGUACAAUCUAUGAGAAACUGGACAUAAUAUGUAAUUCUUAAAUUCUCCCCUAUUACAAUGUUAUUCCGUUAGUUUUCUUCUUAACAAGAAAAUAAGAGGAAUGGCACUGGUUAGCUACCACAGCAAAUUUAUGCAACAUGUUCAUUAAGGGGGAAGGACAAAGCAAUUUCAUGUAACAGAAGAUUACUGUUCAACCCGCAUGAGAAAGCUCUCUAGGAUUAAUGUUGCAAAAAUAAUCCUUCUCCACUAUAUGCAACCUAAAUUAGUUUGUACAAUUCCUCCAUACAAAGUUAAAUUCUGAGAAUCAAUGAACUGGCAAAAUGAAUAGAAACAAUUUCCUGGACAACAGCAAAAACUCUUCUGCAAAUUGAGGAAAGAAGAGAAACGGAUAGGACCCUAAUAUAAUCCUCAAUCUCUCAGCACAAUCAAUGAUAGGACCCUAAUGUAAUCCUCAAUCAUCUUAGCACAAUCAAUGAAAUUUCAGAGACUUCUGCUGAUAUUAUUUCUCUUCACCUCCAAGCAAAUUAAAUGAUUUACAGAAUGCUGGUGGCACCUUUAGAUGCUGGUGGCACCUUUAGAUGGUAUAGACUGCUUUUGGCCAAAAAUAUACUAUAGACUACUAACACGCAUGUGUUAAGAGACAUUCAAGGAAAAAAUUUUAUUCCACUCUUCAUCCACUUUUCAUCUUCCCCAUCAAUAUGUGGUAACAAUCCACCCACAAAACCAAAGCAUCAACAUAAAACCAUGCUCCAUCACUUUUAGGGAGCAUAAAUGACAGCUUAGUUAUGAGUAAUAUAUUGUCCAACAGCAUCCCCAAAAAAAAAAAAAAAAUGUACAGCCACAGACUGAAUCCUUUUGUGCCUAAAUUUGAUAAUAGUAAUGUAUCCAUUAGCAAAUGACGGAAAGGGGAAUAAUACAGCUUUAGACCAACCUCUGCGAGGUGAGGGCUUGUCCGAUGAAUGCCAGGUCUCAUGAUCACUUCACAGACGGGAAGAAAGUCAACUAUUUUGUUAUAUAUAUCUACCAGCAAUGUGCCCAUACCAAACAGAUACUGGGUGGCGACAGGUGAAGAAUUGAUUAUGCUUUGAAACGCUGCUUCAAACUCCUCAUCAUUGCAGAGUAUAUCCACCUCAUCCAAAAAUAUACUGAGCAUGAAGCCAUAGCUUAUAGCAGCAGUUGCAAAACAAUCUGCAAUAUGUACAAAGAUAUCAUUCUUCUGUUAUUGAGUACAUUAUAGCCAAAUAGAGCUCUUUGUUUGUAGCAUAGCAUGGAGUAAAAUCUGCUGAAUGCCAAAAUUAUCCAGGGUUUGAUGUCAUUCAAAUUCUUAGCAGGCAAAUCCAUAAACAAAAGAUUUUUUAACUUCAUAUCCUAUAUCAAAAAAUAUGACAGAGUGUGUCAAGUGGAGCCUUCUCAAUUUGUCACCAGUCUUUUCUCAAAGAUUUCUAUUGGGGCUAACGAAUAGCGAUAUAUCCAACAUUUUUUUAAAUCAAAGUGAAGUUCUCCGUAACUCAAGCCAGAAAAUCAAGAUUCAGCUGUGUAUGUAAGAAUAGAAAUUUCGCGAAUGUUUUCCUUUCCUCAAAGAUUCAAAGAAUGGUGAUGAUACACGGUGGAAGUACUAAAUCAGAAAACAGUAGGACGAUCACAUUCCUUACUCAAAAACAGAUGAGAAGAUGAUGAUUUUGAAUAGCUCGUGCACCCAAACUUAUUCAUGCAACAUUAUACAAUGCAUAGGCUUACCAUCUAAGAUCCUUCAACUCCAAAAAGCCUUCUUAAACAAGAAAAAUAAAGUGACCAGGAGUCGCUAUUAGGACAGCAACACCCUCUUCUAUACUUUCCAGCUGAGUUUUCUGCCUGAAACCACCUGUGGCAACCAUAGACCAGAAUGGAGCCCCAACCUUCGAUAUGGAUCGGCAGUUACUCAAAACCUGCAUAAAACUCACCACAGAUAUUAAGUAUCACUCGUGGGCGCAAAAAAAUUAUGUUAUGUUUGUCAUCCACUAUUAGCGAAAACAAGCAUUACUGUACAUAAAACCAACUAUAGAGUAUCUCCAAAUUAAGAACACCUCCAUUUUCAACAGCUCCAAGGAGAUUACCAGUUUUGCCUCAUAAAUAAAUUAUGCACAUCAUUAAGCAACUUUGCCACUUCAAUUGUAUAUAUGCCUUUCCAGGAACCCAAUACGAUCUUUCAGAUUGCAACACUUAGGAAUCUCUUUUUCUUUUUUCUUUUUAUUCCUUUUUUGAAAGAAGAAAUGACAAUUUGAGUAUUAUAGGUGGCAAGUUGUUAAAAACAGGUUGACUACCACCGAAUAUGAGUUGGAGUGCUUUUUUACCACAAAUUUGCUUCUUAAGCAAUAGCCUAUCACAGCAUAGGAUGAGAGCUUAAAUUGGCCAUAAACUAGUAAAAGUUGAUCAGUUGCUUGCCAAAGCAUGUAAGGGUAAAGGAAUAGGCACAAGAAAGGACACCAACUACCAACCUGUAAAGCUAACUCAGCAGUAAGCACCAGAACAACAACUCAAGGGCUUUGUGAGAAUGAUUUGCUAGGUCCUUGCAGCUCUUCCUACCUGAGAUGUUGGCCUAUUAGUGCAAGAUAAGCCAGCACUUUUCCUGAGCCACUCUGAUCAGCUAUAAUACAAGUCUUUCCGUCAAUUACAGGUUUGAAUGCCAUCGCUAGUAGUCAUCCAUAGUUAGCAGCAAUAUGAGUUGCAGUACACCAGGAGAAGACCUUCCUUUUGUCAAGGUGUAGACAGAACACCUUGAAGUAAAGGCAUCCAUGGAAAUCCCCCUGCCCCAUCCUCUGAAAUUUGAAUUCUGCAUUAGAACUGCGAAGUGAAGGCUCUGUUCCAACUAUUCAGGUGGCAGAUAUGCCUUUUUUAUUGGUUUCCAUUAGGUGCACUGAAUGAUCCAUUUCUUCUGUUUCAGUCCUUGCUGCGGCGUCUUUGGCAGCUUUGGAUUAGUAAGCACCUGAUAUCUUUCUUCCGAGUACAAGGAUAGCUGCUUCCUCAUUUUUCCCCAGUUGAUCCAAUUUGGAAAAAGAGAGAUCAUGCACAUCAAAAUGUAGAUUUUCUGCUGCUGGUUCAUAAUCUUUGCAACUCACUUGAUUUAGCUUGGAAGAUUUUUCAGCAACAGAUUUGACUCUCAGCGAAUUCAGUCGUCCAAACCUCUGCCUAAACCACUCACACUUGCUGUAGGAGAAUCUCAUCUUUCGGCAGGGUUGACCCAUGAUGAGUGCCUUUUAUUAAAAAAAAAAUUACUGUCAGACUUCAUUUUAUCGCUGGAAAAACCAAAUUCAUCUCCAAGUUCUGACUUUUACAAAUUGCACAGAGGGAUUUAGUACGCUACAAGAAAAACUUAGCCCAGAUUAAUAUGGGAGAGAAACUUCCAACUCUGUGUCGCAUAUAUUCGUUUUCAAGCCAAACUAAGAAAAACCAAAAUCAUUUGCCCAAGACUGCAUGAUUCAGAUAAGCUCCAGAAGAAGAUGUAGAGUUGGAUACGUUAUACAUCUCAACGCAAUGGCCCAGCCGCGGCUUUUGCGCAACACAAAAUGCACAUAACAAAUUGCUUGAGUCGACCGACCCAAAAAAAAAUAAAAAAUUGCUCGAGUCGUUCCAUCGGCUUGGAUACCAAUUAUCAACGACGGACUCACCGGGAAAAAAAAAAAAAAAAAAAAAAAAAAAAAAAAAAAAGGGAAUUCGUCAUCAGAACAAAUCGCAUUAGUCAUUCCAACUUGCACAUUCACAUCAAACACGUCUACAGUUGAAUGCAAACUAUGCAAGCUAACAGCUCGAUUACUGAGAUAAAUCCAACCUUACUGUCUCGUCGUCAAUNNNNNNNNNNNNNNNNNNNNNNNNNNNNNNNNNNNNNNNNNNNNNNNNNNNNNNNNNNNNNNNNNNNNNNNNNNNNNNNNNNNNNNNNNNNNNNNNNNNNCCGCCGCCGAUGGCUGGGAACCUUAGCCUAUGAACAUUGACCAGACCGAUUCAGGCGGGCGUAUAAUCUAGAUAACCAUGUUAACUUCAGAAAAAGAAAUGCAAAAAAAUAAAAACAUGGUGAGAAAUUGUCAGUAUAGGAAGAACUAGUACAUUUUUCUCUCCUCCUCCGUUUCUUUUUCCUAGUUCAACAACCCUAUAUGCCAUUCACAGCACUGACAAACGGAACACCAAGCAGAACCCGCGAGCUUAGAGCUAUAUCAUUCACAUUCUAAACCACAACAGCACCCUCUCCACACCUCUCAUCCUCAAAAUCACUCCUCACCCCCAAACGAAACCGCACGAACCCAACUAAUCCCCAUCGCUGGAGGGGCCUUGGACAGGGUGGCUGGCCCUCGCCGGCCCUAGGCGAGGGCCGGUGACUGUCGCCUACCCUAGGCGAGGCUCACCAGAUCUCGGCAAGGCUCGCCCAGGGCGGGCGAUGGCCGCGAGGCCUCGCCUGGGCGAGGGCCGGCCACCCAACCUAGGGCCAACGACCGUCACCGGCCCCUCCGACGAUGGGCAACCGCGGAAGUCCACCAGUGCCUUUUUUUUUUUUAAUAGUUUUGUUUUUUUUAAAUAAAUUUAGAUUUUCCUUUUUAUUUUUUAAUCUAAUUUUUAAAGAUUUUGAAUAAAAAAUAAUUUAAAAAAUCCAUUUGAAAAAUAAAAAAAUCAUUUAAAAUAUGACGUCAGCGCCACAUCAGCAAUUUAUGUUAACUUUCUUAACGGUGUUAAUUUUAGGACUCAAUUGAAUCAACUUGACAAGUUUUGGGACUUAAUUGCACUUUUUGUAAGUUUUAGAACUCAAUUGCACCUUCUUGACAAGUUUUAGGAUUUCUGCUGAAAAUAUCCCAUAAUUUAUUUAUUACUCUCUCUUUCACUCACAUAUUAUUUAUUUAUUACUCCCACUCUCUCUCUCCAUAUGUAUUGCUUUUCAAUUUCCUUUGCUAUUUUAUUUAUAGUUUAUAUAUUACUAUUGUUGUCUUCUGCCCCAGUCGCUCAAAGCAACCCAGCGGUCACACCUGCCGCCGGUGGCUGGGAACCUUAGCCUACGAACGUUGACCAGACCAAUUCAGGCGGGGCGUAUUAUCCAGAUAACCAUGCUAACUUCAGAAAAAAAAAAUGCAAAUGCAAAAAAGUAAGACAUAGUGAACAAUUAUCAGUAGAGGAUGAAACUAGUACAUUUUUCUCUCCUCCAACAUUGACAAACAGAACACCAAGUAGAAUCCGCGAGCUCGGAGUUAUAUCACUCACAUUCUAGACCACAACAACACCCUCUCUCCACGCCUCUCUUCCUCAAAAUCACUCCUCACCCCAAAUGAAACCGAACCCAACUAAUGCCCACCCUGCACCAAUCGAUUCCGAGCAGAGACUCCCCACGGAACCAAAUCGAAUCCCCCGCCCUAAAAAGUAAAUGAAACCCAACCAAUGCCUUCACCAAAGCACUCGACCAACCAUGAACAGGUCAGGGGCAUCACUGAAAAGUCAGCGCGUAAAAGCAGGGCGACCCAGAAGGCUCCUUCUUCCUGAUGCGCGAGUGGCGGGCGAGCCGGUCCUCUCUCCGGGUCUUGGCCGGGGCUUCGACGGCGAAGAGAGGCUGGCGCUGCGGCGGCCGCUGCAUUGGGACUGUCCCGAGGAAUUUCGGGCAGACCGAGACCGAGAGAACGUUCUGGGAGGAACCCAGAAAGGGACUCUGGCUGAGGAACGAGAUUGAAGUAGAAGCAGCCAUGGCUUAUCGCUGUGCAAGUGCGAGAGACAGAGAGCGAUGCUGACGGAGAAGAAGGCACUCAUUCCCUCUACGUUUCCGCGACGCCUUAUCCUUUUCGACGAAUUGUUUGGGAAAAUUGCGUUAUGGUCCUCGUAAAUAUUUACGGGUUCGAUUUUGGUCCUUUUGCCAAAUAUUCGCGACGGAUUUCAUUUCAUGCCGUCUCUCGAGAACGAUCUAAUAGGAACAUUUUUUUCUAUUUUCACAUUUCCAAUUAAGAACUGAACUGCAACAAAAUGGAGCCAAUGCUAAACUUUUUCCACUCCUGGGAAAGUUGUAAAGUCCAGCAGGUUAUUCAACGCCCCACCGGAUUUGCGGCUAAAUAAUUUCAUCCAUCAAAUCAAUUAUAAGAGUUGUACCGAUUAUUGAUUAUAUAAGUGAUCUAUUGACAUUUAAGGUUAUCAUGACCGUAGGGGUUGUAAGUUUUACAUUUGAUGGAGGAAGAAUGCAGCAACCUAGUGUAUUUAUUCAAAAAUAGGCUACAUUAAUUUAGAAACUUUAGAUAAAUGUUAUCAUCGUUUUGGUAAAUAAUUAUGAAUAGGGAAAAGGAAAAUUACCAUAAAUUCAAGUUGCAUGCUAUGUCUUCAGUGAAGUUACGAUUUACAAUAACUUAAAGUGAUUUAUUAUCGGUAAUUAUUAAUUGUCAUUCUUAAGCAACGUAAGCUACUAAUGCCAUUAUGAAGUUACAUUCUUUGAGGUGAUAAUGACGAGUGAUGGCAUUCUUACUUUAAGAGCUCUAUAGCUAAGUUAGUACUCCAAAAGGAAAAGCACUAGCUAUAGAUAGAUCGAGAAUAGGACAACUCGAGACAAAUUACUGUGGUUGGAGGUAUAAUCAUCAAAACUGUAUCGUGGAAAAAUUACAAUGUUGUCGGAUAACGACUAGGCGCUAGCAUUAUUGAGAGUAUUAUGGAAAUUCAUGAGGGGAAGUUACUGACUAUAAUAAAUUACUGAUUAUGACCAUUUGAGGAAAAUAAUGGUAUUAUCGAAUAAUUACUAGUGACAACAAUAUGAAGUUACGAAAAGAAAGCAAUCUACAAUUAUUGAGGUCAAUAUAGAUUACAAGUUACAUCCGUUGCGACAAUUUAAGCUAAGUUACUAUGCUGAAGUGAUUGAGAUUCUCACGGAACACAGUCUACAGCUAAACCAAUAUGUGAAAAAUAAAAUCCUUAACUCUAGGUGCAAUUCAAAUUACGCCAAGAUCAGUUAAAUUUCAAUUACUAAGUACAAGAACUAAAAAAUAUGACCUUUUUAGGGAAAUUAUAAUACCAUUGAAAAAUCUCUUAAAACGAAGUCAUUUACCUUAGAGGAAGUACUUUAAUUUACCUUUGAAAUGAGUAAUUUAGCUUGUAAGUAAAGUUCAUAAAUCAGCUUAUUGUAUCAUGGAUGCAAAAUGAAGUACGUAAAUUAUAUUUGGUGUUCGUAAAUCAGUUUCUUGUAUCGGAACGCUCAGUAAGUUGCGACAGAAGGUCAUUUGAUAUAUUCAUGGCGUACAGCAGGGGAUAGAGUCCCGUACUUUCCUAUCAUUGCAUAUUCAUUAUCAACAAAGUGCAACUUACGGACAAUACAGGCUUGGAGACUUCUUAAGUCGUCUCGAUCAGCAAGAGCAUCGAUAUGCUCCUCGACGAUGAAUGGAAUAAAGACCGAAGCAUAGAGGUUUCGAACCUUGAUAUCAAAAACCCUUCGUUGCAUUAACGCUUCUCGGAUCUCCCUCAACAAGUAGAUGCAAAAUGGAAGAAUCAGAAUCUCACCAAACAGUGAUCCCCUUUACAUUUUCAUUUCUUGCCACGCCAUUCCUCUAUAAAAUGCAGGAAAAAAGAAUGGACUGAUGGGAUCUAUUCCUGUCGCUCCAAGCAUGAACUCGAUCCCACUUGGUGCACGAACGUCCCAACUCAUCAGCUCAUAAGCAGAGAGCAAAUCAUGCAAGGGAUGGCCUCUCCAGUUUCUCACCAUUAUCCUUCUUGCCAGGGAAUGCUUCCCAACUGCCAAGACGAAUGCUUUGCCUUCCCCUCCAGAACCUCUUGCUGUUCUUCCAACACGGCGCACAUAUUCGCUCAGAUCACACAGGAAGUUGAAGAGAAUAACAUGAUCCACUCUGGUAAAGUUGAUUCCUCGUGACGCCCUGCCAUAUGGUUCAAAAAUCAUCAGGAUCUUGCCAAUACUUAAGGAAAGAGGACAGUGACAUGUCUAAGAUAAAAUUGUAUGUGUCCAGUGACCCCGCCAAUAGUUAAAAGCGCCAGCCUUUUAUUUGACUGUGUCGCAAACGGUGCUGUUAAAAUCACUAGGCGCUGUUAAGAGGCUCAGACCCCACGGUGCCUCAGGCGCUAGGCUGAACAAUGAGAGGUGCUAAGUAGAAAGUUGGGAUUAAUCCAUCACAAAACAAAUUAUUAGGUCUUUCACACUUAGAAAUCACAAGUUAUUCGAGGUUUGCAUCAAAGCACAUAUUGCACUGGUGCAAGAUGUUAACCUAGACAAAUCUUUUCCAACGCAAUACCUCAGAAGAGGAGCGAGCACCUCAUCUCAGGUGCUUACCAUAAACAAAGAAACCUUGCCUGAGAUGAGGUGAGGAGCAGAGGCUUCACAUCGCUUUGCCUGAGCGCCUAGGUGAGUGCCUUGAGUGUUAGCUAACACUCAGCUCUUGCCUAUCAAAGAAAUUGAACUGAGCCCAAUACCAGAAAACUUGCAACUAUAUAGGCCCAAUCAUUCACAAAACCUACAAGACAGAACAAGGCGUAUCCCAGCCAAUACUAUUUUCAUCUAGUUCUUGUUCAGACUGAAUACAUCAUUAAAUGUGCAAGCUUAAACUGAGAACUGAAGGCCUGGGUCUUGGCAGGCCAUGCAUGGUUUAACUAAAGGCUCACUUUUAGGGAUCAAGCUCGUCCACAGAACAGAUCUAUCUCUAAAGCAUAGUUUGAAUGGCAUCAGACAAAGCAACCAUACAUACCUGUCGGUGCAAACCAAAAACAAGGAGACAUCUUUAGAUGGAGAAGCAGAAAACUCUUUCAUAUUUCCCUGUAGUGACUCUUCUGAAACAGCAGCAUAAAAAGGUAGAACUUGUAUACAAGUGCCUUUUCUGUAAAUUCGUUCAAUGCAUUUUCAACUUUCCAAUAUGUCUCAAUCUGUAUAGAGAAGAAGAAGGAUGAGUUCAAAGUAAUGAUGAGUCCUCCAUCCAGGUGGUUUCAGAGUCUUCUCUCAAACUCCAGCUCGGGAGUUGAGGUGGUCGGGAGAGAGAAGUUAAUGUAAUGAUGAGUCAAUUUCAAGCAGCCUAUACUGAAAGAUCAACAUACCUUGUUGCAGAAAACAAUUGUUUCGGUUACUGGCUUUCUUCCGCUAGCUGAAUAAGAGCAAACUCCUUAUUCAGGAAUGCAGUAUCUGAAGUCCUUUCACCGUCUUCCUCUCCACUACAAUCUAUGAGAAACUGGACACGACAUGUAACUGUCAAAUUCUCCUCUAUUACAGUGGUAUUCCAUUAGUUUUCUUCUUGACAGGAAAAUAGGAGGAAUGGCACUGGUUAGCUACCACAGAAAAUUUAUGCAACAUGUUCAUCAAGGGGGAAGGACAAAGCAAUUUCAUGCAACAGAAGAUUAUUGUUCAACCCAAAUGAGAAAGCUCUCAGACCAUCUAGGAUACUGUUGCGAAAAUAAUCCUUCUCCAGUAUAUCCAGCCUAAAUUAGUUCGUACAAUACCUCUGUACAAAAAAAAAUGAGAAUCAACAAACUAGCAAAAUGAAAUAAAAACAAUUUUCCGUACAACUGCACAAACUCUUCUGCAAAUUGAGGAAAGAAGAGAAACAGAUUAGACCCUAAUAUAAUCCUCAAUCCUCUCCGUACAAUCAAUGAAAUUUCAGAGACUUCUCCUGAUUUUAUUUCUCUUCACCUCCAAGUAGAUUAAAUGACUUACAGAAUGCUAGAGGCACCUUUAGAUAGUUUUGACUGCCUUUGGCCAAAAGAAUAGUCUAGACUACCAAUACACGUGCUAAGAGUCAUUCAAGUAAAAAAUUUCAUUCCACUCUUCAUCCACUUUCCAUCUUCCCUUGUCAAUAUGCAGUAACAAUCCACCCCCAAAUCCAAAGCAUCAACGUAAAACCAUGCUCAUCACUUUUAGGGAGCACCAAACAACAGCUUAGUUAUGAGUAAUAGAUUGUCCCAGAGCAUCCAGAAAAAUGUACAGACACAAAAGUUAAUCCUUUUGUGCCUAGAUUAGAUAAUAGUAAUGUAUCCAUUAGCAAAUAAUGGAAAGGGGGAUAAUAUAGCUUUAGACCAAACUCUUCAAGGUUAGGGCAUGUCCGAUGAAUGCCAGGUCCCAUGACACUUUACGGUUGGGAAGAAUUUCAACUAUUUUGUUAUAUAUAUCUACCUGUGUGGUGACAGGUGAAGAAUGGAUUAUGCUUUGAAAUGCUGCUUCAAACUCUUCAUCAUUGCAGAGAAUAUCCACCUCAUCCAAAAUCAUGCCACAUCGUAAAGCCAUAAAUUAUAGCAGCAGUUGCAAAACAACCUGCAACAUGUAUAAAGAUACCAUUCUUAUAUAGCUCUUUGUUUGUAGCUUAGCAUGGACUGAAAUCUGCUAAAUGCCAAAAUCAUCCAGACUUUGAUGUCAUUCAAAUUCUUAGCAGGCAAAUCCAUUAGCAAAAGAUUUUUUAACUUCAUAUCCUAUAUCAAACAAUAUGACAAAUGGAGCUUUCUCAAUUUGUCAAUUGUCACCAGUCAUUUCUUGAGGAGAUCUAUCAAGGCUAACAAAUAGCAACAUAUAGAGCAAUUUUGUAAAUCACAGCAAAGGUCUCCAUAACUCAAGCCAGAAAAUCAAGAUUCAUAUGUAUAUGUAAGAAUAGAAAUUUCGCUAAUUUUUUCCUUUCCUCACAGAAUGGUGAUGAAUCAUGGUGGCGGUACUAAAUCUAGAAUACAAUAGCACAAUCACAUUUGUUACUCAAAAACAGAUGAGAAGACAAAAAUUUUGAAUAGCUCAUGCACCCAAACUUAUUCGUGCAACAUUAUACGAUGCAUAAGCUUACCAUCAAAGAUCUUUCAACUCCAAAAAGCCCUCUUUAACUAGAAAAAUAAAGCAACCGGGCGUGGCUAUUAGGCAUCAAGACCUUCUAUAUUUUCCAGCUGAGUUUUCUUCCCGAAACCGCCCAUGGCAACCAUAGACCAGAAUGGAGCCCCAAACUUCAAUAUGGAUCAGCAGUUACUCAAAACCUGCAUAAAAUUUACUAUAGAUAUUAAGUAUCGCUUAUGUGGGCGCAAAAAUUUAUGUCAGGUUCAUCAUCCACUACUAGCAAAAACAAGCAUUGCUGUACAUACAACUAACUACAGAGUAUCUCCAAAUUCAGAACACAACCAUUUUCAACAACUCCAAGGAGAUUACCAGUUUUGCCACAUGAGUAGAUUAUGAACAUCAUUAAGCAACUGUGUGCCACUCAAAUUGUAAAUUUGUCUUUCCAGAAACCCAGUACAAUCUUUCAGAUUGCAAGGAAUCUCUUCUUUUUUCUUAUUUGAAAGAAGAGAUGACAAUUUGAGUAUUAUAGACGACAAGUUGUCAAAAACACACUGACUGCCAACGAAAAUGAAUUGGAGUGCUUUUUUUACAACAAAUUGGCUGCUUAAGCAAUAGCCUAUCAUAGUAUAAAAUGAGAGCUUAAAAUGGCCAUAAACUAGUAUAAGUCAGUGACUUGCUUGCCAAAGCACGUAAGGUAAAAGAAAAGGCACAAGAAAGGAUACCAACUGCCAACUUGUGAAGCUAACUCAACAGCCGGCACCAAAAUGACAACUCGAGGGCUUCAUGAGAAUGAUUAGCUAAGUCCUUGCAGCUCUUCUUGCCUGAGACGUUGGACUACUGGUGCAAGAUAAGCCAGUGUUUUAUCCCAAACCACUCUGAUCAACUAUAUUACAAGUGUUUCCCUCAAUUACAGGUUUGAAUGCAAUCGCCUGUGGUCAUCAAUAGUUAGCAUCAAUCUGAGUUGCAGUACAUAAGGAGAAGUUCUUUCCUUUUGUCAAGGUAUAGAUAGAACAUCACAAUGCAAUUACUUAUCAAUACUUAUGCCAAUGAAAAGACAAAAACUGAUGCUAUAGGUUGGCCCCUCAGUGACUUCCACAUCCAUCAGCUCCAAAUUCACAUUUACAGAUAAACAAUUAAUGAUGAUGAAUGCAAGCUUACAUCUAGAACUAUACAAAAACAAGGUCAUCAUUGAUUUGAAGCUCAAUGUGUAUAUUAUCAAGAGAGUAGAUAUAACGAGGAUUAGAAUGUGCUCAUGUUUAGUAUACUGCCAGCUAAAACAGCAGUAAGGAAGCAAUGACCAAGUUCCUUUUAUUUUCCCAACAGAAAAAGCAACAAGCUGAAAACUUUGACUUGAGUAGGUCAUACUAUUGAUGUACCUGAAUAUGUGAGGGGCGAAGAAAAUGCUGCUUCCUCAAAGAUUCAAUCAUAGAGUCACUACAACCCAAAUCUUCGAAGGACAUUCGACCAUGGAAGUCACUAUUGGAGGAAACUUUCCUAUGCAAAGUUAGAUCUUUGGAGUCAGAUCUAAAGUCAUCCAUGGACACCCCCCUGCCCCAUUUUUCUGAAAUCUGCAUUAGAACUACGAACUGAAUGCUCUGUUCCAACUACCCUGGUGGUAGAUAUGCCAUGUUUAUUGGGUUCCUUUCAGUGCACUGAACGAUCCAUAUCUUCCAUGUCUGUCCUUGCUGCAGCGUCUUUGGCAGCUUUGGAUUGGUAAGCACCUGAAUCCUUUCCUCCACGUCCAAGGAUAGCUGCUUCCUUCUGUUUACCCAGUAGGUCCAAUUUAGAAAAAGAGAGAUCAGGCACAUCAAGAGGUAUGGUUCAUAAUCUUUGCGACUCGCUUGCUUUAGCUUGGAAGAUCUUUCAGCAAGAGAUUUGACUCUCAGCAAUUUCAGUCGUCCAAAACCACUGCCUAGACCACUCACGCUUGCUGUAGGAGAAUAUCAAAAAAAAAAUGACUUUCAGACUACAUUUUAUUGCUGGAAAAACCAAAUCCAUCUCCAAGCUCUGACUUUUACAGAUUGCACAGAGGGAUUCAAUACGCAACAAGAAAGUCUUAGCACAGAUCGAAAUGGGAGAGAAGUUUCAAGUUCUGUGUCGCAUACAUUCGUUUUCAAGCCAAACUAAGAAAACCGAAACCAUCUGCCCAAGACUGUAUGAUUCAGAUAAGCUUCAAAAGAAAAUCUAAUGUUGGAUUUGUUAUCCAUCUGAACACAAUGCAUAUAAAAAAUCGCUCGAGUUGUUCCAAGAGCUUGGAUACCAAUUAUCAACAAUGCAAGCACAAAAAAGAAAGAAAACUCCAACAAAUAAGAAGGGAAUUCGUCAUCAGGACGAACCACAUCAGUCAUUCCGACUUGCACAUGCACAUCAAGCACGCCUACAGUUAAAUGCAAACUACGCACAAGCUAACAUCUCAAUUACUGAGAUAAAUCCAACCCUACCGUCUCGUCGUCGAUCAGCCGGUAUGCCCCCGCCGGAGUCUCCAAGGGCCUCCCCCCUAAAAAAAAAAAAAAAAAACACCGGACAGGCGCAAGGAGAAAGAGUGGCGCGCGAGUGAACCGGAGCCGGAGCUGGAGUUGGAGGCGGAGGGGUGUGGAGUUAAGGCUGAUUGGGAGGCGAAGGCGCUUUGAGUAGCCAUCAUUAUACUUUUUUGACGCCCCAGAAACUUCAGCUUUUACCCGAUGAUCAAAAAGAGCUGAGGCUCAGAUAUUAAAAAUCCCAAAUCUCUUCCGUGUAGAAUAUUCGAAUCCGAAUCCCUUUUCUCAAGUAAUUGACUUGGAGGGGUAAUCACCCAAUAUAACUUCUGGGAUUUCGCAGAUGAGGGGCCAAUAGCAGCCGGUCCCUUCCUUGCAUCGCUUCUCCAGAAUCCUACAUCUUCCGAUCCAUAGACAUUCUAGGGAGGGAGGGAGGCCAUCCUGGGGCAACUCCCUCAGCUUCGGGCAAUUCCAGAUACUUAAGGUUUGGAGAGAGGAAGGGAGACUGCUGGAUAGUCUUUCCACUUUCCCCAUAUCUUUGAUAGAAAGAUAGAGCAGAGAGGAAGGGAGCGGAAGCACAAGACCCUUCUCCUCUCCCACUCGUCCCGCGCGGCCGUCGAUGUCCAAUUCUUGAAGGGAGGUGAGAGGGGUAAGCCACUCCCUCACCAGCUGCUUCAUAUUCUCACAUCGAGUUAUAAUAAGUCUCUGUAGCUGGGGCGGCAACCCUUCAUCGGGGAAGCACGCAAUACUCUCACACCCACGAAUUCUCAGUCUUUGGAGACUCGUGAGUUGAUGCAACUGAUUAGGUAACGAUUUUAUCUUCGGACAAUCAUCAAGCAAAAUUGUCGAGAUGCCGGGAGGAAGAGGAGGGAAGCACUCCAGCUCCAGUGCCGGACAAUUCGACAACCACAAGUAAGUGAGAUGUAAAAGUGUGUGCAGCUCCAGUGGUAAGCUUCUCAAGUUAUCGCAAGAGCCAAUACUGAUCGAUUGAAGUGAUUGAAGACGGUCUACAGGUAUCUCCGCAAGCGACUCCACUCCCAUACACGACCAAAUUUGAAGUGUCUCGAGGGUCGUAGAAAAAUACCUACUCUCGCUAAAUGGAGAGGCUGAUAGAGAAUCGCAUCCGCAUAUUUUUAAUUCUUGCAAACAAUAUAUCAUGUCACCGUGAUUAUUGAUGUUGUUGCUUGAUUCAUUCAUAUGAACACUUAAUCCUCUAGGCAAAGAUUGCAACAUUAUGCAAUCUCGGAUAUUUAGUGAUAUCAAUGACGUCAACAUACUUAUUUUGGGGAAGGAUACGAGUUUUGGACACUCCUCGACAGUCAAGUCAUGAAGAGAGGGAAUGGUGUAAAUCAUGCUUAUGCAAUUUCGUGAGUCCAUAAUCUCCAACUUGCUAGAAAACUCCAUAUCUCCUUCUCCAACUGAAAAUGAUAUCAAUUCAGGACAACUUUUGACAACUAAACUCUUCAAAGAAGCGAGAUUCCGAAUUAUAUCUCUCUCUUGCCAUAAAUACAUCAAUUUUUUACAACUUAUCAUCUCCAACUUCUCCAACUUGACCAAGGAGUUUGUAAACCCAUAAUUUAAGCAAGUUAAUUCAAGAACAUCUUGCAUGACAAGAGCAGUUAAAGAUGUCAAGUUUAUCAAACCCUUCAGCAUGCCCUCAUUACAACCUUUAAAGUUUAAUUCAUUGAGGGAUGGAAGGCUAAUGAUAGAGGACGAGGCAUCCAUAAGCGGACAAGAGUUGAUUUCCAGCUUUUUGAGGGAGCUCAGUUGACUAGGCAAUCUUCCAAUCAAUAUAGGACAAUCCCGAAUGACCAGAUGCUCAAGACAAGGGAAUAAAACUCCUACUUCUUCAUUGUCGAAGCAAUGAGACCAGUCCUCCCACGAUAGCAUGUGGUUGAAUUCCAAAGUCAUUAAAGAUGGAAAAGGACUUUUAGUUCCGUAAAAUUCAGACCCUAUUGUGUGUAUUGCAUUUAGACCUUCGAUGUAAAGUUCUUUUAGAGAAGAUAGCUGUCCCAAUGAGGCUAGCGCUUUGGCUCGACAACACCCAUGUAAACGUAAAUGCACCAUCUUAACAUAUGAGGGACUUCCUAACCAUGAUGGAAAUUCUAAGCCACUAUAGUAGGAUAUUGCGAGAUUUUCAAGUUUUGGGUGAGGGCGAAGAAAGUCAAUGACUUUUGCUUCAAGCUUUUCAUUCCGAAAAUUACCAAAAUCUUCGCACCAUUGCAUGGUCAACCGGCAUAUUCCCUCCUUCAUGCAUAAAUUGGCAUCCCUAGCAUCUCCGGCUUCUUGAAUCUUAUGCAAAUUAGAGAUGCAUAAUUCCCCUCCAAGAUUCUUUAGGUUUUUCAACUCCUUCAAUCUCGACCCUAUUUCUGUUCCCACUACAAAUUUGGAUAGCAUCUCAAGACCCACCAAAUUACCUAUAUACGACGGCAUCACUUUUAGGCUUGAAGUACCGGUCAAGUCAAGAAAUUUUAGAUUGAUCAAUUUCUCCAUACCUUCCGGUAAUUCAAUAAAGUUUCCACAACCUCGCAACAACAAAGUCUCUAGGUUGUACAAUGCAACAAUUGACUUUGGAAGCUUUUCAAUGUUAGUAUUCGACAAAUUGAGGUACCUUAGGUGUCUCAAUUUACCUAUGCAAUCCGGUGCCUCUCUGAUGUGAUAGUGACAUAAUGAAAGCACCCUCAAAAACUUCAAUUCGGAUAACAAGUCACAUAGCACUUUCUUGGACAAAUAUGACUUAUCAUAAUACUUAGGUUGCUUCACUAAUGAUAUAAAGCUCCUAAGUCCCUUCAUUCCGUGAUAUAUCUUGAAUCUUUCUUGAACAAUGUGUGGGCUAGAAAUGAAUGAGGCAUGACGAGCCAAAAAUGCAUUAUUUUGAUCACCCUCAAAGUCAAAUGCCCCCGAGCUAAAAUAGGCUGCUCCAGCAACUAGCUUGGCCAUGUCACUCACAAGAUCAUGCAUCAAGAAUCGUGAUUCACUACUACUCGACUCUUGAAGUAAUGAUCUAGAUAUUAACUCGUUAAAAAGUUUCAAACCUACAUUCCAACGAUUUUUUCCUUCUUUUCCCUCUAAUAAGCCCUCUGCAAUCCACCAGUGAAUCAACUCAUCUCGUUCAAUUUCAUAGUCGUUGGGAAUUAUAGCGCAAUAAGCGAAACAUCUUCUCAUAUUCGAAGGGAGAUGGAGGUAGCUAAGUUUCAAAGCUGGAAGGAUGUCAUUACUUUCUUGUGGGAGGUUCCAAAUUUUGCUAUCCAAUAUACCUUGCCACUCCUGGGGAUUGAUUUUAAAGCUUAGCAGCCCAGCCAAAGUCUUCACAGCUAAUGGCAACCCUUGGCAUUUAUCCACUAUUUUCAUGCCUAAUACUUCAAGAUCAGGAUGAUGAUCGAAAUUUCUUGCUCCCAAAGCAUGAAAUGCGAACAAAGUCAUACAAGCAUCUUGUGACAACGGUUUGAGAGUAUAGGGUUGAGCACGGGCUAUUUCAGCAACGUGAAAAUUACGAGUCGUGACAAUGAUCUUGCUUCCCUUUGCUCCCCAUUGAAAAGGCUUCAAGAGGAUAGUCCAGUUUCCAUAAUUCUCGUUCCAAACAUCGUCUAAAACAACAAGAAACUUCUUCCUUGCAAGGUGUUCCUUGAGCUUAUCAUGAAGCCAAUCCAGAUCCUUACCUUCACAAGACAAAUGGCCAUUGGUUGUCUCAAGGAUCUUCUUUGUAAUAGCAAGCACGUCGAAAUCAUCAGAAACGCAAGCCCAUGCUUUCACAUCGAAAUAGUCGAUGACUCUAUCAUCAUUAUAGACUUGCUGAGCCAGAGCCGUCUUCCCAAGACCCCCCAUCCCUACAAUGGGAAUCACUUUUGGAUCCACACAUGCCCUAUCAUUUUCUUCUUUGGUCAGUAAUUCAAGGAUCUCCAUUUUCUCAACCUCCCUACUAACAAAACAAGGCUCAGGCAAAUUAGUAGUGUGAAACGGCUUAUCUGCUCGACGGUAUGCUGAUUGCUUCCCAAUAUUCUCUCUCAGGUGUAGAACAUUUUUCUGAGUAAUGAUAUCAUUUAACCUGCCAUGCAUCUCUUCCAUCUUGGAUCUCAUUGUAUGACCGAACAUAAAUGCUCUUGGGCUCAAUGUGAGGCAACAACUUGGAAGAAGGGAACGCACCUUGCUAGUGCUGGGUUCUGCCUCGGACUUAUUUGCCGCGAACUCUAUGGCGAACUCCUCUAGCAAGUCUUCAAUGCCGUAGGCCAAUUCCCUGAGAUUUUUUAGCCACAAGUUCACCCCGAGAUCACCAUUCAAUUGCCUGUCCUCUGCAUCAUCCAACACCUGGUUGAUGCUGACCAGCAUCUCCUCCCAUUUUUUCAGCAGCACAUCGAUACCCUCACGCCGUGCAAAGUUGAGAAGCUCGCGAGAGGCCAACCUAUCAAACAGCACCUGAAGAAAGGCGCCAAGAAAGAGCUCUGCGAUAGGCAUGGCUUGGUUCGCAAGUGCAGAGGAUUAAAUGAGAGCGCCCGGAAGGGUUGAAAGAAAAUGGAUAGAGCCUUUCGUUUUUUCUUUUCUUUUUUUGGGGGGGGGGGGGGCAAGAGUUCUUAUUUUCAAGACGACAGCAUCAAAUGAUGGUGUGAAAUCAAAGACUUUUAAGCUAUGAGAUGACUUUCGUCUCAGGAUACUAGUGGUGGUGAUUGGUUAGUAAAGUAAAUAUAAAAUGCAGAAAAUCAUAGAUCUUUAUAACGUACUUUCUUAAGGGUGAUUCAUUGGUAUUGCUCAAUUGUUUAUAAGUCCACUAUUCUCAUCUCGAUUGAGGUGACUGGCAACUGUCUUUUUUUAUAUUUUGUUUUGGCCAGAUGACGACUAAUGGUAGUGUGCUACCAAAUUUUCAGCUUCCGAAGGAAUGAUUGGUGUUUAGUUAAGUUGUUGACUAAGGUUAGAUUACCGAGCUCCAUAAGUGGGCCCGAAUUUGCCACAUGUCGAUCCAUGUAUAAUUUACUAUAUCAUCCUACAUGGUUUAUUAAAUGCACCUUAUAUUUUCUCUCAUAGCCCAAAACUAUCUCCUCUUUCUUCCUUGGGUCUUUGUUUAAGGUUCUAAAAUUGUUGGAUUGCUAGUACGGAUUUCGGCCGUUGAUAAUAAAAUGUUCCAACAAAAAGUUGAAGUGUUUCUUUCUUCAUUCCUCCACGCUCCCCUUCAUUCAUCCUUUUCCGCACUCAAAUCUGUUUUGCUCUUUCUUCUCCUCAGCACAACCAUUCUUCCUUCUCUCCUUCUUCAGUAUCCGUCGUUCUUUACCAUCAUUCUCCCACGCGUCUCUUUGUUUUUUUUUUUUUUUUUUGUUUUGGUACCCAGAGAAUCCCGUACAGCCGGCAGCCGGCCAAGUAAAUCCUAGGGCGACGCUAGCGAAGGACCCACCACCCCGACGUCACGCGUAAGUCACCAAGCAACUCAAUCAGCCCCCUUGCUUCAUAAGGGCUUCGAACUCCUCUCCUCAGAGCGAAAGGAUUACAGGAGCCUACCCAACUGAGCUACCACGGCCGGUGGUCGUCUCUUUGUUUUUCGUUGCCCUUUCUCGGAAGAAACCACCGUUGCAUUUCAUCUCAUGUCAUCAGAUUUAAUUCCAUUUCUUUUGAUUUAAUUUCCCGAAAACCAUUUGGUCAGAAAUGGGAACCGAGUCUUGGCAUCAUUAAAUACACUCAACGCUCAGAAGGCAAAGAAGUCGGCCCGAAUUCCAAGACUUCUUUUUUAUAAUUGUUCAUCAGCUCUCUCUCACCACUUACAUCACAUAAUUCCCAAAUGCACCCAUCCACCGUCGUCAUGCAUCACAUAGAUCAUAUGGCAUCAUGGUUUUAUUGAUGCAGCCUCGUGCCGCUUUAUCAAAAAGAAGUUACUACAUAAAUUUUAGUUUAUGUAGAGCAAAUACGGUCGUGCCAUUGAUCAUAUGGAUCUCAACAUUAUUCAACGUAGUAUAAGAGCUUAAUGCAUUGAAAGCUCCAAAAAUUAUUCAAUUGAUUACUCAACAAAUGUCCAGAAAUACUUGAUAAAAAAAUCAUUUUUUACUAGUGGCUAGAAAGAAAAAACUGUUGCUUUUCUUAAUUACUAUGGUUGCUACUUAGCUUCAUUCUCUAAAAAGUACAUUACGCAUCAAAUUAGCAACCAAAUAUUGAGUGGCCAUAGAUCGAAUUAUUUUGCAAACUUUCAAGCAUCAUUUUCUUUUUCCCUUUUAUAAUGAUUAUAUUCAUAACGAGGCUUCCUCAUUAUAUUGAGUCCGUGGGUCAUAUUAAAAUAUGCUUACUGUUUUGCCAACCUAACUACAAAUCGUCCACGAGGGAAAUAUUUUAUCCAAAGAUGGACAAAUGGAUAAGUUUAAUUAAUUACAAGGUUUAAGCGGUGGUUCAAGAAGUGGGUUAGCCUGAGGACGCUGUUUAAGGGGGGUUAAGAAAUGGGAGCGGAUCUUAUGUGGAGUUGCAGAAGUUAUUCUCUAUCUACCCUCUUCACCAUGUGCGGUUUCAGGCCUCGUGUGCUAAGCAUCGAAAGAAGGGGAGGUGAUUAUGGCAGGACAUGCGCGAAAGCCAAGGAAUUAAACUUUGAUAAUUCAUGUAUUAUUUUCCUAUUUUCAUUGCUCUUUUUGAGCAAAUAAUUUAUUUAUUAAACGACAUUCUCUCUCUACCCUCUUCACCAUUCCCAGGUGCAGGCCCCAUGUGCAAAGCAUAGAAAGAAGGGUGAGUGUAUGGCAGGACAUGUGCAGAAGCCAAGGAAUCCAAACUUUUGUAAUUCAUAUCCUACUUCCUAUUUUCAUUGCUCUUUUGUACAAAUAACUUAUUUAAGCCAAGGAAUCCAACUUUUAUAAAUUAUAUCUUACUCCCUGUUUUCAUUGCUCUUUUAUACAAAUAAUUUCUCUCUCUCUCCCUCCCUCCAUGUAUAUUACUUUUCGAUUUUCUUUGCUAAAUAAUAUUUUAGUUUAUAUGUUGUUGUUCUUUCUAUGUUUGUACUUUUUAUUCUCUGGCCUCCGUUUCUCGGUGCCAAGAGAUACUUGUUCAUAGCGAAAUUAUAAGGUCCCUGUCGAGAUGCCGUCCUACCCUCAAUAAUGAGCAUGCCCUUUAGGGUGAAGUGCACUCUCCCCACAAUAAAUCAGUCACUUUUUUAAAAAGAAGUGCAUGCUUCUCGUGAAAAUAUAUCCUCUCAUUCAUAGGAAAAAAUUUCCAAAAAAAAAAAUUUGAACUUAUUAUAAUUGUGUAAUCUCAGUCCUAAGUAUUUUAAUUUAGCCAAGAAACAGAUUUAGGACUAGUGCUCAAUUCAUAUUUAUCCUUCAGCGGUGGUGGAAAGAUCUGACACUUAGACAUUGAUGGUGGUGACUCUGGCAGUAAAGUAGACACAAUUUUUUAUGGAUCGCAUUUGCUAUUACUUGCUUUUUCUCGAUUGUUUAUAAGUCCACUAUUCUUGUCUUGAUUGAGGUGACGGGCUUCUUUGUUAUUUAGCCUUGGCCGGUGACGACUUGGAGCAAUCUGCUACCAAGCUUUCAGCUUCCCAGGUAAUUGACUGAUUUUUAGUUAAGGUCUUAACUAAGGUUAAGCUACAGUGCUCCAUGGUCCAUCCCUAUCUCCUCUUCCAUCCUCAUCAUUUGGGUCUCUAUUUACUAAAUCUCGCCCAAUGAUAAUUAAAUAUUCCCGAAAAAAGUUGCUGUGUUUUUUUUCUCCGCCGAUUGCUCCUUCACACUUCCCUUCGUUCUUGUUUGCACUCGAAUAUCUACACCUUCUUAAUCUCUCAUCGUUGAUUUCAUUUGAUUUGAUUUAAUGGGAGAAAGUUGGUUAAAAACGGCACCCUAGUCUUGGCAUUAUUAAAGCGGCCGAAAGGCUAGAAUCAGACAAAAGGCUGCUCUCUCAAUUUCUUUCCCACUCCUUUUUUGUACCCACCCAUCAUCAUAGACAUUGGCAUCAUCGUCUGAUUGACGCAGUCUCGGACAUCAAUCAUAUAAGUCCCAACCAUCAUUCCAUAUUACAUGAGAACUCAGUGCAUAAAAAACUGUAUAAUUUACUUAGCUGGUCACCAAGUGUCCAGAAAGACUAGUUGAUAUUUUUUUUUUUAAAUGAUGGCUAAAAAAAAUUGUUACUUUCUCUUCAUUACUGUCAUUGCUACCUAGCUUCGCUCUCUGAAAGAUACGUUAUGCAUUAAAUUAGUGGCAAAAAAUUGAGUGGUCAGGGAUUGAAUUAAAUUGCAAACCUUCCAGCACCAUUUUCUAUUUUCUCCUUUUAUGAUGAUUAUACCCAUAAUAAAGCUUUCUCAUUUUAUUUGGUCCGUGGGCCCAUAUUAAAAUAUGCUUAUUGUUUUGUUAGCCUAACUACAAUUCGUCCAACGGAUAAAUAUUUUAUCCAAAGAUGGCCAAAUUGAUAAAUUAAAUUAAUUAUAGGUUUUAAGGGGUGGUUGAAGAAGUGAGUCAGCACGAGGAUGCGGUUCAAGGGAUGGUUCAAGAAGUGGGAGCCAGACGACAAGAAUUAUUGAGCGAAGGAGAGGAAGAAGGAAUCGAAUGCCAUCCUCUCUCUAUCCUCUUCAUUAUUGCCGGAUGCAGGCCCCAUGUGCAAAGCAUCGAAAGAAGGGUAAUUAUGGCAGGACGUACGCGUAAGUCAAGAAAUCAAACUUUCAUAAUGCCCAUGGGAUCAUUGGUCUUUUGCACAGAUAAUUUAUAUAUUACUCUCUCUCUCUCCAGGUAUAAUACUUUUCAAUUUUUUUCUUUGCUAUUUUAUUUGUAGUUCAUAUGUUAUUGUUGUUCUUUCCAUGCUUUGCACAUGGGCCCUCCAUCUAGGAAUGGUGGAGAAGGCAGGGAGAGAAUGAUGUUUGAUUCUUUCUUCCUCUCCUUCGCACGGUACUUCUUGUUGUCGUUUGGCCCCCAUACCUUGAACCAGCUAAGUACAGGACGUCAAGAGAUAAUUGUUUAUAAAGAAAUGACAAGGCUCUUUAGGCACCCCCCCCAACAAUAAAUUGCUUACUCUUUUACAGUGAUUUGCACGAUUUUGUUCACAUUAAGUGCAUAAUCCUUAAAGGCCAAAGUGCAUCUCCUUCUUAUAGUUGAGUGAACACUCGUUAUGAUCAAGAGUGAACUCCUUCUAGCAUCUAAAUUAGAAGCGUGCCUCUUUCAAUGAGGAGCAUGCCCCUUAAGCGAGUCGAUGUUGAUGAGAUACUCAUAAUGUUCUUAUUGUUCCAUCAAUUUAAUUUUGAAAUUAUCUGGAAAGUCAAUGUUCACUUUCUAUUGUUGUAAGAACUUGUUAAUCUAGACUAGAUCUUGUCCAAUACAAUUAUUUGCGAAAUAGAGAUGAGACUUUUCUAUUAUUUUAACCGUUGUUCAAAUUUAAGUGAAAGUUCCUACCUAAAAAAUCCCAAUUUAGAGCAAUUGACCCUUUUGUGCCUUGACUCAAAAUUGAAAUCCCAAUUUAGAGCAAUUGACCCUUUUGUGCCUUGACUCAAAAUUGAAGCAGGGGUCAUCUAUCUAGUGGUUGCAACUUAGCCUUUGAUGCUAUGUGCAGCCCCUAAUCCAUACUCUGCUAUAACUCCAGGGAAGGCCACUACUAAGAGUAAUUCCAUCCUCUUGUUUCCAACAAAUGGUCUCUUCUUGUACAGCUCUUUAGAUGAUCAAUGAAUAAUAAUGCUUUCCAGCAAAAUAUUAAAAAGUAUAGUUUGAUUGAUUGAUUAAACUGGAAUACUAUGCAUGUGUUGAACUUUUCUUAAUAUGCUACAUAUGAUAUGAUCCAUUUGUUUGAAGGUCCAUUUGUAGUAUGCUAUAUCACUUGGUGUAUCAAUCUAAUUGAUUGUUCCAAAAAUCAUCUAGCUUUGUCAUCUCUACAAAUGGAGAGCCCUAAUUAUCACCAGUGAUAAAAGUUCGACAAAUCGGCUCAUUGUUCUCACUACUUUGAUACUCUACUCCCCUAUUUUUUUCUAUAGCUUAAGUAGUUUAGACUCGAACAUAUCCAUUGCAUUAACAAUAUGGUAUAGUGCAUAACAGGGUCAAUCAUCCUUCAAACACAAAAUUGAAUAUGAGAAAAUAUAUAGGAUCUUCACAUUAAUCAAAUUUUUAUUUUUAAUCAAACAUCAGUUAAUUAAGACGACCUAAUACACUCAUAGUAGUCAAGUCGUUUACGGAGGGAGUUAGAAAAGGUCAAUUGAUAAUGAGAACAUGAUUAAAAUGCCACCACUUUUUCAAAGUUCCAAUAUCAAAUGUUAGGAAUUUCAAGUUUUUAUCAUUUCUUGAACUUAUUGUACUUAAUACGGUACGAUUGACUGUGAUUCCCAGUAAGGAUCCUAAUAUUUUAUGGUGUUCUUUAUUGUGCUUGAGUGCUAUGUUUUUCCCAUUGUUGCAGCAUUAUGAGAUGGUGGAAUUGAUUGUCUAUGACAGGUGUGCUAUACAAGGAAGCAGCAGGGCCAAGACUAGCAGCAUCGUCUUAUGUUAGCUUUCUUUAAUGUGAUUUCAAAUGAAUGUAAACCCACUCGAACACAAGUUGAAAACAUGAGCAAAUCUUUUCAAAGGGAUUCCCAUUAAAAGCAACUUUAGCUAAACUAUGAACUGGCUACAUUACCUUCCUUCCGUUAUUUACACCUAUACAGCAGAACACUUAUACACUACCCCGUUGGGGAGAAGCUCUAAGCACCACUAAACAUGCGAGUCGAAAGACUUUUGCAUCGGCCCAGCCAUCCUCCCUCCUCCUCUUCUUCCUCUUCAGUAUCUGUUGCUCUUUUUCAUCACUCUCUUGUCUCUAUCUUUUCGUUUGUUGGCUUUCUCCUAUCGUUUUCUUGGUCUUUCUUUCUCGGAAGACGCUACCGUUGCAUUUUAUCUCGUCUCAUUUGAUAUUUAAUUUCAUUUCAGUUGCCUCAAUUUCUCGGAAGCAAGUUGGUCGGACGUGGAACCACCAAGUCUUGGCCAUCAUAAAAGCCACCAAAGAAGGCUCGGAAGGUAAAGAAGUGGGACCGAAACUUCUGCUUUAUCAUCGUUCGUCAAUUCUCUCUCACCACUCGCAUCACACAAAGUCCCAAAUGCACCCAUCCACCAUCGUCUUGCAUCGCAUGGCUUCAUUGAUGCAGCUUCCCGAACCCCAUCCCGUUAUCAAAUAAAUGAGCUGUUACUACCUAAACUUAAUGUAUGUAAAUUGGAUCAUCAUUAAUCAUCAAUCAUAUGCAUCCCAGCCACUAUUCCACGUAACACGAAAGCCCAAUACAUUGAAAUCUCUCAAAUUUUCGUAGUUGACUACUGAACAAGUGUCUAAAAACACUUGACAGCAAAACCAUUUUUAAAUGGUGGCCAGAAAGAAGAAAAAAGGUUAUAUUCUCUUAAAUUCUGUAGUUGUCACCUAGAUAUGCUCUGCUAGGAAUACACAAUCGGAUUGGAUUGGAUGGAAAAUAAACCAGGUGGCUAUAGAUCGAACUAAAUUACAAACCUUAAAGCUUCAAUUUGUUUUUUCCCCCUUUUUGCCAAGCAACAAUGAUUAUAUUCAUAACAAAGGUUCCUUGUUUUAUUUGGUCCAUGGGUUAAAAAAAUACAUAGAUGCUUAUUGUUUUGUCCCAAGAAGAGAAGAGCUACCUAGCUUCAUUAUGCCCACCAGCCAUUCAAAUAGGUGGAAUUUGAUAUAUCCUUAUUUCAUGCCCUAUUAUUAUUAGUGUGCAUAAAUAUUACAUUAGCGGUACAAAAAUAACCAGAUCCCUAAAUUGUAGAUUUUGCUAUGGCAUCACAUCAUAACAAAUUAUCAAUGAUGGCUUGGGAUGGUGGACUAAUUGAAGUGUAUGAAAGUUGGUUUAGACACCACUUGAUCACUAAAAAAAAAAAAAAAAAAUCAUAAAUGGUUCGUGUAUCUCAAGGUCAAAUAAAAUUUGAAAUUUCAGGGCUGCACUACCAAAUAACAUAUGCUUAUGUUUAGUUAGGAGAACAGUGAGAGUACCUAACUAUGAUCUGUCCACCCACUAAAUUUUAUUAAACGUGGACAAAUCAAUAAGUUUAAUCAAUUAUGCCCUAUAAAAACAGGGUGUCAAAAGAUAUUUAUUUAUAGAGAAAUUACAAGUCCCUAUUGAAAUGCAUUCCUAUCCUAGAGAAGGUGCAUUCUCUCUAUGGCAAAGUGCACCCUUUCACAAUAAGUUGCAUAGUUUUAAGGUAAAGUGAAUGAGUUUUGCUCUCAUUCAGGUCGAGCGCACAUUCCUUAGAGGUCAAGAAUAUGCUUCCUAGGUACUUGAAUCCAGGGCAUGGAAUUGUUUGUGUGCACAGGUCUCGGAAAAGUCAGCAAAGGAGAGCAAUUGAUUCAUGUAUGAACUUACGUCGAAGUUUCCUACUAGUCUUCGCCAUUGCUUGGUGUCUGAAUUUACCUUGAAGUUUCCUACUAGUCUUCGUCAACUCGGUGCUUAGAAAAGAUCCAGGAAAAAACUGCCUUCUACCUUUCUAGAGUUCUAAUGGUUAAAUAAUUGACGCAUAAAGGAGAAUUGUAUGUCUGCAUUCUUCGAAUUUUUCAUUAGGCUAGAUCCAGAAUACUUGAUUAUCAUGUUUCCACCAAGUUUUAAUCCACUUCUUGCCUAACUCAUAAAAAUAAUAGGGUACUCUAUGAAUUUAGAGUUUACCUAAAUAAUGUAGCUUUCUUGCUGUCCAUAAAAAAACAUUCGUGUUAGCAAAUAAUUUUUUCUAUCGAAACUUAUUAAAAGAUAAGUGUAAUUAAGGAUGACCUUUUUGUGGCUUUUUCUGUGGAAAUUGUGAACUGUUGAUGUUUAAUGCGUAAACAUUCUUGUUGGGAGAACCUUCUCCAAAAUCUGGCUUUUGCAAUCACAUGGCAGAAGAACUUCUUGAUUAGCUAAGUGCAUUGCACACCUUUGUCCAUUGUGAUUAGUCUUUUUGGCCGAACAACCACAGCCCCACCUGCCCCCCCCCCCCCCCCAAAAAAAAAAAAAAACAAAAACAAAAACCCCUACCGCCUAAAAAAAAAAAAAAAACAAAAAUGACAAAAGUAGAAGGACAAAUUUGUGGAUAGUCUAAGGUACAUUCAUUGAUUCAAAAAAUAAAGAAGAAGGUACAUUCAUUGAUGAGGCCACGAGAGAAUCAUGGUCGAGAUACACACGCGUUACAUAUUUCCAAUGCCGAAUCAUCCUAAAUGAGGGGGUUUCAUUGAGCGGGUAGGUGUAAGAAUUUCAACAUCUCUUAAUCUUUUGAAAAGGGUAGUGUGUUGUCAACAAGAAGAAUCAAUUGAGUAUGUCUUGAAUUCUCUAUGGAGUUGGGCCAACAUUAGGGAUUAAAGCAAUAUAAAUAUCAGUAUUAUUGAGUUAUUAGAUUAAGAAGUUGAGAUAGAAAAAGUUUUGUAAUCAUUGAUUUCCUAUAAUGGAUUUUGUUUCUUCUCUCUCCAUAAUUUUUUCCGCAAGGGUUUUCCAUCUAAAUUUGGUGUUCUUUUAUCACAUUUGCUAUCACAAACUAUAAAUCAGCCAUCUUUAGUCAGUUAACUAGCACACGGAACCAAAAAGAAUAGAGAGAAAUAACAUAAGAUAAUACUGGGAGACCCACCAAUAGUUUACUAAAUUGGUAAAGUGAUAGUGAUAUAUUUUUAUUGACGGUGAAUAUGACCUACUUACUAAUCUCAUUGGAAGAUCAACCCAGCAUUUUUAUGUAAAAUCAAUAUUAUAGCAUACGCAUAUCAGAUAAACGUGAGUUUAAAACAUGAUGGUUUUUUGUUGAGAUUUUUUUAUUAUCAUUGUUUUUCGUGCCAAGAAUUGCCAAUUAAAUAAAAGUUUAUAGUUUUUAGACAAUUACAUAAAAAUGAGGGAAAAAAAGCUUGAAGGUGGGAGAACGCAAGGGCAAGAGCAUCCUUGGAAGGCUACUUUGCCCUGUUUAUGUUCAACGACUGGGUCAACUAUUUCAUUUUAGUGUAUUAGAUUAGAAACAGGUUUACAAAGUUUGCGUAUAGGUCGGUCUUUCAGGUUUUCAUGUACUUCUCGAGGGGAUGAGAUCCUUUGUCUCUAUUUGUGUCCCCAUGAUUCGGUAAUUAGUAUCUUAUUCAACAAACUUGUAAUUGAAUGUAUUAACAGAUUGUUGAGACGGCAAUAGAGAAGUCAUGCAAGACAAAGAAUCUCUAACUUUAAGCGACCAGCACUUGUUAACUGUAACCCUUUACCAUCAAUUUUUAGAUCCCAACUCUCCCACGAUAAUUUUUCCUUUUAUUUAUUGCUUUUCUCCUGCCCGUCACUUGAAUUAUACGCUAAAUUAUCUCAUUCUUUCUAUUGUGCAUUCAUUUCUCAGGAUAAUACCUAAUCAUACAAAGGUCUUGCAAUAUAUAAAUAAAAAAACCCAAAUAAAUCACUUUCAACAAUGACGUGGUGUGUUUAUCAUUAGGAUUUAUCUAAGAAGCACGGCAAAUGGGGUAGGAUUAAAUGUGAUUUACAAUGAUGAUAUAAAUCUCUUAUUUUAUCCUUGUUUUCAUCAGACAAUUUAUUCUCAAUUCAGGUUUAAUGAUAUUGGUAAGCUAAUAAAGCUAGUUCUCGAAAAGAAAAUGCUGUUGGAAUUUGUGAUUAGAUAGUAUCUAUAUAACAUACUCAUAAUUUGUCUAGGUCAGAUUGCUAGCGUGUCAUAUAAAAUGCUGACAAUGACUGGAGCGCCAUUUUAGCAAUUUUAGGUGAGAAUUAGGUAGAACAAUUAUAUUAAAAACUCAUACAAAGAUCUAGAAUGACAUUGUUAAAAAAAAUUAAAAAAAAUUAGGACUACAUUGGAAUCUAUAAAAUAAACUUCUUCAAAUAUGAAUUGAGGAUUUCUUGUUCGAAAAGUUUUGGCAUCAAAAUGAAUGCAGCGCAAAAAUGAUGACAAUGAUAUCAUUCUUAUCCCCUCUUUUUGGGAUGAGGUUUUGUAAAUUUAGGAUCAUCUUAUCUUUUCACAUCUCAUAUAUCCAUCCUUUGUUUUAUUCAAACACGAAUAAGGUCCAUAGUCCACUAUAGGUCCUUAAAGGACAAUAAUGUCUACUUCUCCCUUCACUUUUGUUCCCUCAAAGUAACACUAACAUCAUGAAUCAUUUGUAGCGGAAAACGUGGUGCGUUUCAAAUAGACAUGCCACAUUUGAUUUGGAUGAACUUUUGUGAACUUGGGACCAUCUUCAUCUUGUCACUUCUUGUAGGUCCAUAUGUUAUUUCAUUCAGACAUAAAGUAGCGAAAUUCUUUAUAAUAAGGUCCACCCUCCACUACAAGUCCCUAGCCAAAACCGUGGCGCGUUUCAAAUGGACAUGUCACGUUUGAUUGGAUGAACUUUUGUGAACUUGGACCAUUGUCAUCUUAUCACUUCUUGUAGGCCCAUACGUUGUUUUAUGCAGACGCGAAGUAGCAAAAAUCUUACAAUAAGAUCCACCCUCCACUACCAAUUCUUAGAGGACAAUAGUUGUCUUCUUUUCCCUUGGCUUUUUCCAAAAGCGACUUUAACGUCACUAUUGGCCAUGACAUGUUUGAUUGGAUAGGAAAAAGUUCACUACAACCACGGCUUUUUGUCAAUCAAAAUAACCAAAGCUUCUCUUUUAAAGGAAUUACCUUUAGGAUGCUUAUUAAUCAAUUAAUUAAAGUUUUAUUGUAUUGAUUUUUCUCCAAAACAUGUAGGACAAAAUUUUUGGAAAUGAAUAAUUCAUUAUUAAGUAAAGUGAACAUAUACAUGGACCUAUAAUCAUCUUUGCUUUCGAAACAACUAGAAUUUGAUCUACACAGUCACGCAAGAUGGAUUAAAAUUUACACCUCAACACUUACAUAUUGUUUUUUGGGAUUUGUUUCAUUAUUUUAGACAAGGUAUCAUUCGCAAAAUAUCAUGAAUGUCAUAAUUACUAAGUUAAUACUAGAUAGAAAAAAAUCAGCCAAUACAAGAAAAUGCAUAUAAGUCAAACUAAAAAUAUACGUGUUUAUCCUUUACCAAAAAAUAUAUAUAUAUAUAUAUAUAUAUAUAUAUAUAUAUAUACGUGUUUAUCUUGAUUUUUGUUGCGAAAGAAAAAAUGAAUAACAACAUUAAUCAGAAAAUAGAAAAGUAAAAUUGGAAAUCAAAUUUACAUAGUUCGGUCAAUAUAAUCUCGUACAUGAGGAGAGCAACAUAAGAUUUCACAAUUGAUGAGAGCAACAUAAGAUUUCACAAUUGAUCAAGUGAUACUAUGGAGGUUAGAAAUACGCUCGAGUCACUCAAAUACUUCGACGAUUUUUUAGUCACCACUUAUACUCAAUAAUUCACAUAGUAUGUAGCCUACACAAUUCCUUACGAAACAAUAUGUAAAUCUCACAAAGAAAUCAUAGAAGUCUCACCAAGAUUUACAUAGCUAUUAAACACUUGGUGAUUAGUUGUCUCUGAAUAUAAUUAACAAACUUAUACGCAAUCUUGCAUGUUGAAGUUGAAGUAUUCACUGAAUUUUUACGAAAAAGAACUCCGCAGUCUUCCCCUCUAAUUAAAAAAAAAACAAAAGAACAGCCUUCCUCGAAAGUGGAAAAUAUGGUCGAGUUCAAGUAUUCACUACGUACUCGUAGAUAGGAGCCCAAAGAAAGACACAGCAUUUGGCAAUAAUGCAAUUGAGUCACUUUGGUACAAUGCUUUUGCAAUUCUAAUGAACAGGUCGUCUCCUAUCAAUCCCCGCUCACACCAUUCGCUUGGAGUAGGGAUUGACCAGCUUUAUAACCUUAAGGCCGCGAGGCUUGCAGGUCAGGCCUGCCUCCUCAAAACAUAGUACCAACCAGUCAACGUUCAAACCGGAUCCCUUAUCACUGAAGUAACUUUCUAAUGUGCUGGAGUAGGAUGAGCUAUAGGUACUUCCUUAUCAUUAUUAUGCAUCAUCAAAUAUUUCAUCGCCAAACAAAUUUUAUUCAAUAUGAUUGUAAAGUUCACUAUGCAAAAUAAAGUUCUUGAAUGUCUUAUAUCUUAACGCUCAGUAACUCGCUACGGCAGGUCAUUUUAUAUAAUUCAUUCCAUACAGCAGGGGAUAUGGUCCCGUACUUUCCUAUCAUUGCAUAUUCAUUAUCAACAAAGUGCAACUUCAGACAAUACAGGCCUCCGAGACCUCUUAAGUCAGUCUCGAUCCCCAAGAGCAUCAAUCUUUCCUUGACAAUGAACUGAAUAAAGACUGAAAUAUAUAACCUUGAUAUCAAGCUCUUCAUUGCAUAGACUCUUCUGCGAUCCCCCCUCCAUGUAGAUGCAAAAUGGGAGAACCAGAUUCUAACCAAACAACCCCCCUUACGUUUUCACUUCUUGCCGCGAGCCCUUCCUCCAUGAUAUGCAGGAAAAAAAGAAUGGACUAAUGGAAUCUCCUCCUGUCACUGCAGGUAUGAACUCAGAUCCCGCUCAGUGCAUGAACAUCUCACUCAUCAACUCAUAAGCAGAGGGCACAUCAUGCAAGGGAUGGCCUUUCUGGUUUCUCUCGAUUAUCCUUCUUGCCAGGGAAACUUGCUUCCCAACUGCAAAGACAAACGCUUUGCCUGUCCCUCCAGCCCCUCUCGCUGUUCUUCCAACACGGCGGACAUAUUCGCUUGGAUCGCGCGGGAAGUCAAAGAGAAUAACAUGAUCCACUCCGGUAAAGUCGAUUCCUCGUGACGCCCUGCCAUAUAGUUGAAAAUUCAUCAGGAUCUUGCAUAUACUUAAUGAAAGAUGAGACUGACAUGACUUUGGUAAAUUUGUAUGUGUCCAGUGAUUGCCCCAAUAGUUAAAAGCGGCUGCCUUUCAUUUGACCACAUCACAGCCAGUGCUGUUAAAAGCACCAGGCCAUCUUUAAGAGGCUAAGAACCACAAUGCAUCAGGCGCUAGGCUGAAUGAUGGGAGGUGCUAAGUAAAAGUGGGGAUUAAUCCAUCAAGAAACAAAUUAGUAGGUCUUUCACACUUAGAAUCACAUUAAUCGAGGUCUGCAUCGUAACAAAUACUGCAGUGGUGCAAGAUGUUGCGAGUGUAUAAUAGUUAACAAAGAAGACAGAUUACACGAUUAGUAGAUUGACAUUCAUUGUUUAUUUUUUUGUUCCGUCCUUCCUCACAAGCUUUGGAGGACAAUGGAACGAGAGAGAACAAUUGUGGCCAUUUUGAGAAAAAAGAAGCUAAAGAUCUUUCAGCUUCUUAGAGCCUAGAAGCUGUCCUCCACUUCCAACAGCUCUCUCAAAAAGAUAUUUACCUAUUCUCUUCUUUAUUUUUAGGGAUAAUGACACAAAUGGUCAUUGAGCUUAAUCCGAUGUGCAAUAUGGUCCAUGAACUUUUAAUUUUUUUUCAAUAGGGUCCCUAAACUUUAUCCCAAUGAGCAAUGCGGUCCCUGAACUUUCAAUUCAAUUGUGGUUCCUAAACUUUCAAUACAUGUUCAACUUAAUCUCUAAAUUAUAAGAAAAUGUCCAAUAUUGUCCUUUCAUUAAUUAAAAAGUAGAAACUACAUUGAACAUUUUCAUAUAAUUUAAGGACUAAACUGAAUAUGUAUCAAAAGUUCAUAGAUCAUAUUAAAUAAAUUGAAAGUUUAGGAUCACAUUGCAUAUUGGGCUAAACUUCAAUGACUAUUUAUGUCGUUUUCCUCAUUUUUACUAAGGACAGAAUAAAAAAGUCAAAGAAAAAAUGUCGAGCUAGACAGAUCUUUUCUGAGGCAACAUCUCAUAGGAGGAGCACCUCACCUCCGGUGCUUACCUCAAAUGAGGAAACCUUGCCCAAGCUGAGAUGAGAAGCAGAGGCUUCACCUCGCUUUGCCUGAGCACCUAGGUGAGUCCCUCAAGUGUUAGCUAAUGCUCAGCUCUUGCCCAUCAAUGCAAUUGAGCUGAGCCCAAUACCCAAAAAGUUGCAAGUAUACAGGCCCAAUAAUUCGAAAAAUCCACAGAAAAGGCCUAUCCCAGCCAUUGCUAUUUUCAUCUAAUUCUUAUUGAUACCGACUAUGUUAUAAUUGUGCAAGUUUGAACUGAUAACUGAAGGCCUGGGUCUUGGCAGGCCACGCAUAGUUUAAUUAAAGGCUUACUUUUAGGGAUCAAGCUCAGCGGCUGAGCAGAUAUAUCUCUAGAAGCAUAGCCUGAUUAGUUUCGGACAAAGCAACUAUACAUACCUGUCGGUGCAAACCAAAAACAAGGAGACAUCUUUAGAUGGAGAAGCAGCAAACUCUUUCAUAUUUGCCUGCCGCAACUCUUGUGAAACAGCAGCAUGAAAAGGUAGAACUCUUGUACGAGCGCCCUUUCUGUCAAUGCGCUUCAACGCAUUUUCAACUUUUCGACAUGUCUCAAUCUGUUUAUGGAGAAUAGGAAGGAUGAGUUAAAAAGUAAUGACGAGUCCCCCAUCCAGGUGGCUUCAGAACCAUCUCUCAAACUCCAGGUCAGGAGUUAGCAAGAUGGCAGGAGAGAGGUAAAUGUAAUGAUGAAUCAAUUUCAACAGCUUACACUGAAAUAUCAACAUACCUUGUUACAGAAUACAAUUGUUUUGGUUACCGGGCUUUCUUCCGCAAGCUGAAUAAGAGCAGACUUCUUAUUCAGGAAUGCAGUAUCUGGAGUCUUCUCACUGCCUUCCUCUCCACUACAAUCUACAAGAAACUGGACAAAACGUUUAACAGUUAAAUUUUUCCUCUAUAACAAUGGUAUUCGGUUGGUUGUCUUCUUGACAGGAAAAUAGAAGGAAUGCCACUGGUCAGCUACCAGAGCAAAUUUAUGCAACAUGUUCAUCAAGGGGGAAGGACAAAGCAAUUUCACAUAACAGGAGAUAACUGUUCAACCUGAAUGAGAAAGCUCCUAGCCUAUCUAGGAUCACUGUUGCAGAAAUAAUCUGAAAACCAACAAACAGGCAAAGUGACACAGAAAGAAUUUUCGGGAUAACUGCACAAACUCUUCUGCACAUGGAGGCAAAGUGACAUAGAAAGAAUUUUCGGGAUAACUGCACAAACUCUUCAGCACGAUCAAUGAAAUUUCAGAGCCGAUCCUAAUAUAAUCCACAAUCAUCUCAGCACGAUCAAUGAAAUUUCAGAGCCUUCUCCUUCUCUUCAACUCUGCUUUUACCAUAAGAAUAGUAUAGACAAUCAAUCCAUAUGUGCUAAGAGUCAUUCAAGGGAAAAAUUUCAUUCCACUUCCCUUCUUCCCCCGUCAUAUGCAGUAACAAGCCACCCCCAAAUCCAAAGCAUCAAGGUAACCAUGCUCCAUCACUUUUAGGGAGCAUAAACGACAGCUUAGUUUUGAGUAAUAUAUAGCCCAAAAGCAUCCAGAAAAAAUGUACAUACACGAAAGUGAAUCCUGUGUGCCCAAAUUAGAUUACAGUAAUGUAUCUGCUGGCAAAUUAUGGAAGGGGAACAAUACAGCUUUAAACCAACCUCUUCGAGGUGAGGGCUUGUCCGAUGAAUGCCAGGUCCCAUGAUCACUUCACAGUCGGGGAGAAUUUCAACUAUUUUGUUAUAUAUAUCUACCGGCAAUGUGGCUGUCACAAACAGAUACUGUGUGGCGACAGGUGAAGAAUUGAUUAUGCUUUGAAAAGCUGCUUCAAACUCCUCAUCUUUGCAGAGAAUAUCCACCUCGUCCAAAAUCACGCUGCGCCAUAAAGCCAUAAAUUAUAGCAGAAGUUGCAAAACAAUCUGCAAUAUGUAUAAUGAUGCCAUUCUUCUGUUUCUGAGUACAUUAUAGCCACUUAAAUGUAGCAUAGCAUGGACUGAAAUCUGCUGAAUGCCAAAACCAUCCAGGUUUUGAUGUCAUUCAAAUUCUUAGCAGGCAAAUCCAUUAACAAAAUAUUUUUUACCUUCAUAUCCUAUAUCAAACAAUAUGACAAGUGGAGCUUUCACAAUUUGUCACCGGUCAUUUCUCAAAGCUUACUAUUGGGGCUAACGAAUAGCAAUAUAUCUAGCAUUUUUCUAAAUCAAAGCAAAGGUCUCCAUAACUCAAGCCAGAAAAUUAAGAUUCAGCUGUGUAGGUAAGGGUAAGAAUAGAAAUUUUGCUAAUAUUUUCCUUUCCUCAAAGAAUGGUAAUGAUACAUGGUGGUAGUACUAAAUCUAGAAAGAAGUAGCACGAUCACAUUCAUUACUCAAAAACAGAUGAGAAGACGAUGGUUUUGAUUAGCAUGUGCCCCCAAACUCAAUCAUGCAACAUUAUACAAUGCAUAGGCUUACCAUCUAAGAUCCUUCAACGUCAAAAAGCCUUCUUUAACGAGAAAAAUAAAGCGACCAGGAGUGGCUAUUAGGACAUCAACACCUUCUUCUAUAUUUUCCAGCUGCGUUUUCUGCCUGAAACCACCCGUGGCAACCAUAGACCGGAAUGGAGCCCCAAACUUUGAUAUGGAUCGGCAGUUACUCAAAACCUGCAUAAAACUUACUAUAGAUAUUAAGUAUCACUCAUGUGGGCACAAAAAUUUACGUUAGUUUGUAAUCAGAAACAAGCAUGACUAUAAAUAAAACAACUACUGAGUGUCUCCAAAUUCAGAACACCUACAUUUUCAACAGCUCCAUGGAGAUUACCGGUUUUGCCACGUGAAUGGAUUAUGCACAUCAUAUAAGCAAAUGUGCCACUCAAAUUGUAUAUUUGUCUUUCCAGGAUCCCAAAACAAUCGUUCAGAUUGCAACACUUAGGAAUCUCUAUAUUUUAUUUUUUUGGAAAGAAGAGAUGACAAUUUGAGUAUUAUAGGCAACAAGUUGUUCAAACGAGCUUGACUGCCACCGAAAAAAUUUGGAGAACUUUUUUACCACAAAUUUGCUGCUUAAGCAACAGCCUAUCACAGUAUGGGAUGAGAGCUUAAAAUGGCCAUAAACUAGUAAAAGUUGGUGACUUGCUUGCCAAAGCACGUAAGGGUAAAAGAAGAGGCACAAAUAAGGAUACCAACUACCAACCUGAGAAGCUAACUCAGCAGUUGGCACCAAAAUGACAACUCGAGGGCUUCGUGAGAAGGAUUUGCUAAGUCCUUGCAGUUCUUCUUGUCUGAGACGUUGGACUACUGGUGCAAGAUAAGCCAGCGUUUUUCCCGAGCCACUCUGAUCAGCUAUAAUACAAGUAUUUCCCUCAAUUACAGGUUUGAAUGCCAUUGCCUGCAGUCAUUCAUAGUUAGCAUCAAUCUGAGUUGCAGUACAAUAGGAGAAGAUCUUCCUUUUGUCAAGUUGUAGAUAGAACAUCUUGAUGUAAUUACUUAUCAAUACCCAUGAGAAGGAAAAGACAAAAACUGAUGCUAUAGGUUGGCCCUUCAAUGACUUCCACAUCCAUCAGCUCCAAAUUCACACUUACAGAUAAAAUAUUGAUGAUGACAAAUGCAGGCUUACCUCUAGAACUAUACAGAAACAAGGCCAUCAUUGAUUUAAAGCCCAAUGUGGAUAUCAUGCAGAUGGUAUAUAUAGCGGAAAUGAUUAAAACAUGCUCAAGUUUAGUAUACUGAAAACUAAAAAGGCAGUAAGAGAGCAACAACCAAGUUUCUUCCAUUUACCAGCCAAAAAAGAGAAAACAACAAGUUGAAACCUUUGACUUUGAGUAGGUCAUACUAUUGAUGUACCUGAAUAUGUGAGGGGUGCAGAAACUGCUGCUUCCUCAAAGAUUCAAUCAUAUAGUCACUACAACCCAAUUCUUCAAAGGACUUUCGACUAUAGAAGUCACUAUUGGAGGAAACUUUCCUAUGCAAAUUUAGAUCUUUUGACUCAGAUCUAAAGUCAUCCACGGACAAGCCCCUGCCCCAUCCUCUGAAAUCUGCAUUAGAACUACGAACUGAAUGCUCUGUUCCAACUACUCUGGUGGCAGAUAUGCCGUGUUUAUUGGGUUCCAUUCGGUGCACUGAAUGAUCCACAUCUGCAUUGUCAGUCCUCCCUGCAGCGUCUUUGGCAGCUUUGGAUCGGUAGGCACCUGAAUCCUUUCCUUUAAGUCCAAGGAUAGCUGCUUCCUUCUUUUUCCCCUGUUUGUCCAAUUUGGAAUAAGAGAGAUCAGGCACAUCAAAAGGUACAUUUUCUAUUUCUUGUUCAUAAUCCUUGUGGCUCGCUUCCUUUAGCUUGGAAGAUUUUUCAGCAAGAGCUUUGACUCUCUGCGAUUCCAAUCGUCCAAAACUUCUGCCCCUCACACUUGCUGCGGGAGAAUCAUCUUUUGGCAGCGUUGAGCCAUGAUGAUCGCCUGCAAAAGAAGAAAUGACUGUCAGAAUUCAUUUUAUCGAUGUAAAAACAAAUUCAUCUCCAAGCUCCGACUUUACACGUUACACAGAGGGAUUAAGUACGCUGUGAGAAAAUCUAACACGGAUUGAAAUGGGAGAGAAAUUUCUAACUUGUUUGCAUAUAUUCGUUUUCGAGCCAAACUAAGAAAACUAAAAUCUUUUGCCCAAGACUGCACGAGUCAAAUAAGCUCCAAAAGAAGAACUAGUGUUGGACUUGUUAUGCAUCUGAACACAAUGGUUCAGCUUUGGCAUUUGCACAGCACGAAAUGCAUAUAACAAAUUGCUUGAGUUGUUCCAACGGCUCAGGUACCAAUUAUCAAAAAAAAAACAAAAAAAACAAAAAAUAAAAGGGAAUUCGUCAUCAGAACGGACCGCAUUAGUUAUUCAAUUUGCUCAUUCACAUCAAACACGUCUACAGUUGAAUGCAAACUACGCAAGGUAUAGCUCAAUCACUGAGAUAUAAUCUAACCUAACUUUUAGCUCAGCAACCCAAAUGAGAGUACGCUAGUAACAUCAAAUCAUCGCCCCAAAAAGAUAGCGAAAGUAAGACACAAAUCCCCUUUAUUAUUUUAAAACAAAAAACUACCCAUCAUCCACAUGACCAAAGACUCGAUUCGCAGCGAAGCAUCACCUCCACUAGAACCGCCGCCGCCGCCGCUCUUCCUCGCGGGCUUCCACCGGAGGACGUCCUCGGGCGGAGCCGGGGAGUCGACCGGGUCGUCGCUGCCGCCCCAGACGAUGAACCGCUCGCCCGUCUCGUCGUCGAUCAGCUGGUAGGCCCCCGGAGUGUCCAAGGGCGUCCUCGUGUAGCCCCCCGACCGGACGGCGAAAUUACGGGUCCCGCCGCCGGGAAGGCGGCGGCGGCGGCGAGCGCCGAGGGCCCGGGAGGCGAGGGGACGGGGGCGGAAGGAGAAAGGGUACGCGACGGAGCUGGAGGUGGAGGUAGAGGUGGAGGUGAAGGGUGUGGAGUUGAGGCUGAUGGAAGG
RNAcentral lists this long non-coding RNA (57590 nucleotides) under Eucalyptus grandis. RNAcentral describes it as "long non-coding RNA (EGRA_LNC000935)". The record is from RNAcentral. Lineage: Eukaryota; Viridiplantae; Streptophyta; Magnoliopsida; Myrtales; Myrtaceae.